Molecule: long non-coding RNA, 51881 nt
Filed under: Citrus x clementina
Lineage: Eukaryota; Viridiplantae; Streptophyta; Magnoliopsida; Sapindales; Rutaceae
Description: Citrus clementina (C. clementina) long non-coding RNA (CCLE_LNC005239)
Source: RNAcentral
UAAUUUGGAGGGGGGAAAACAAAAAUCCGAGUGAUAAUUUCCAAAUCUCUCACUCUCUUAAGCUCUAAGACAGAGAUGGCGCAAGUUAGCAUUUGCAGAGCUGUGGCUUUGGUUCUCUUCAUUGCAGCGCUUCUUUCAAUGACAGCUGUCGUCAGUGCACGGGAUGUCGACCUGGCGCCGUCGCCGAGCAUGGACGCCGGAGCUGCGUUCCCAGUGACUGUUUCCGCUGGCUUUGUUUGCUCCUCACUCUUCUUCUCGGUCAUUGCUCUACUAUUGCAGUAAUAGGUUCUCGAGAGACUCAGAUUUUAUAUUAUUUUAUAUUUUAUUUUUAUUAUUAGGAUAUUUAUUAUUUUUGAAAAUUUUGGUUAUUUUUUUUUUAAUUGCUAUUUGGUGGGAGUGCAUGUGUUUGAGUUGCUGAGAGUGAGAAUGUAUUAGUUUUAAUAAUGCAAUUAUUUUUCCCCUAAUCUUUGGUUAGGGUUGUUUUUUCUUUUUAUUUUUUUUUAAUGGUCUUGAUAUUAUGUUCUAUUUUAACUAUAAAAAUUGGUAUUAUUAUUUAUCAUCUUGCAUGAGUUGCAUCUCUCUUUAAUAUUCAUCGGGCUUUAAACUUAAAAACUCCCAGAGAUCAUUUCUAUUAUAAGUAUUGUUAAUUUUAAGUAUAUUUAGUACAAAACUAGAUGAAUGAAAUUGACUUUUAAAUAAGAAAAAAAAAUCUAUUUGGGUGGUUAAAAUCUAAUAAAGUUAAUUGAAAAUCUAUUGCAAAUUAAUAAUUCAAAAUCCGUGUCAUUAUUUUAAGCAAAAAAAAAAUUCUCAAGAAAAACUGACUUUAAAUAAGAAAAAAAAUCGAUUUAGGUGGUUAAAAUCUAAUAAAGUUAAUUGAAAAUCUAUUGCAAAUUAAUAAUUCAAAAUCCGUGUCAUUAUUUUAAGCAAAAAAAUUCUCAAGAAAAAUUGAACUGGGGAUAGUUUUAUGUAGUUUCGUACUUUCAAUUUCAAAUGGGCCGGUUUAAUAAUUAGACCAUCUAAUUAAAUCAUCAAUCUUGAAAUUCAUUUUUUUUUCCUCGCAUACUUUAUAUUAAUCAACAUAUAUAAAAAAUUUAAUAGAAACACGAUGCUUUUCCAAAAUCCUAAUGGCAUCCGAAGUCUUCGUCUUGAUUUGAAUUCUCAACCAUUCGCAAAUGCAUAUUGAAUCGCCUUAGGAAUUUGCAAAACCUGUGAGGUUGAUACAAAUUAAUUAACAAAUCUUGGUUUCCAGACAAUUGAUUUUAAUCAGUUUCCAACUCUUUUCAUUAUCUUCUGAAAGCAAACACAAGCAAGUUUAGAGUGCUUGUGUUAAUUAAUUUGGCACUUAAAAAUUAAGAAAAAAAAAAAGACUAUUCUGGAUUAAACUUGGAAAGAAAAUUUGGAAUACAAGUUCUUAAUUUUCCACAAGAAUAUAAUACUGAAAUGUAAUUCUCAAACAAUUGCUGUCGGUGGUCUCUAGCUCGUUUUAGACGUUUAGAUUUUGUUAGAACUUGUAGAAGGACAAUGACUUGUCAUGAAUAGAAGACCAUUUAUUUAUACAUGGAAUUAUGGAUUAAUAAAAAAUAAUUUUUAUUGAUUAUUUUAUUAUUUGAUUAUAUAUAUUGCCAGAAUGACACCAAUUGAAAGCUUAGGUAGAAAAUGACGAAACAAACGUAAAUAAUAAUAAUAAUAAUAAUAAUAAUAAUAGUAGUAUUUAUUUUUAUUUUUUUUGUGGAUGAUUGAUACCAAUUAUAUAACUUAGAAUAAAAAAAUUGAAUGAAUUUAAAAUUUAUAUUACUUUUGAUAACAAGAUAAAUAUAAAUAGAUGACUAAUAGUUUUUCUACAAUUAAUCCUAAUUCUCCAUUUUUGAAUUUGGGCGGCCAACAAAUAAAAUUAUUUGAAAACUACUCUACCCUGAGAGUUGCUAACCACCAGAAAAAUUAACAAAAAAGAAAUUUAAUUGAGGACAAUGAAAUAUCUAAACAAUAUUGUACACAAAUCAAACUCCCUCUGAAGGCCAGAGAAGACCUUGACUCACUAUUGUGUUUGAAAACGAGUGUUGCUAUUCAACGCGGGAAGAAGAUGAUUAUGGGCCUGCUCAUGGUGUCCUUUUCCUGGGUUAAAGUGUCUGUAUGAACUUUAUAACAACUUGGAGAAUCCAAUCAACCGAAAAGUUAAUUAUAAGCAUGGAUCCGGCAUCCUCCAUUUUCAGAUUGGCGGCCCUUGUAUGGGUUGUAAUAUUUACUUGCGAUAACGUUGCUGUUAGAACUGUUACAUUUGUGACGGCAUCUGCUUUGUCACCCAUACAGUUAGAAAAGAAAGCUUUAAUCAAUACUGGCUGGUGGAACAGCAGCUUCUGGACGACGGACCAUUGCAAGUGGGAAGGCAUCACUUGCAAUUCAGCAGGAAGCAUAUUCGAGCUAUACUUAUCAGGGUAUUAUGCUGGCUUCAAUUGGCGGCUUAGCCAAUUAAACUUCUCUUGCUUUCCGAACCUCGUAAAGCUGACAAUCCAGUUCUUUGCUCUUACUGGAAGCAUACCACCAGAAAUUAGUGCUCUUUCAAAACUCCAACUGCUGGACUUGUCCUCGAACGGGCUUACAGGUAACAUACGAACUUAACUUCAUUACCGCAUAUUAUUUGAGCAAUCAUAUUUAAAUGGAUUAAGUUUGAGAGAAUACUGACAAAAACAAAGGUAAACCAGCCCUAUUUUAUCAUAUUAAUUGAAAAAAUAAUAAUAAUAAUUAACACGGUAGACACACCUGUUUACACCAUUGUUUUUAUUUAUGCUCUAUCAACGUUUAAUUUCUUCAACAUUUUUUUUCAUUAUUUUCGUAGACUAAUAACAUAAAUGUAUAUAAUAGGUACAAUCCCUCCAGAAAUUGGGAACCUGAAGAAUUUGAUCGAGUUGAAUGUGGGCAGUAACAGCCUAAUUGGGCCUAUUCCUUCAGCUCUAGGGAGUUUGACCAAUCUGAGCAAUUUGGAUCUUUCCUCUAACAAACUUUCUGGAAAAAUUCCUCCAGAGAUAGCAGGUAUGAAGAAUCUAACCUGGUUGGACCUAUCAAAUAACAACAUAAAAGGUUCAAUUCCCGGUGAGAUCACCGAAUUAUCUCGACUUGAUUAUCUAGAUCUUUCCUCUAACAAACUUUCUGGCCAAGUACCGUUUUCAAAUGAACAACUCUCAAGCGUGUAUAUAGUAAGACUCUCUCCUAACAAGGGUUUAUGCGGCGGCAAUUUUCUUGAUCUUCCCUCAUGCGAUACAACCAAACCUGCCACUCUCUUUGUUGAAAUUUUUCUUCCCCUCGCCAUAGUCCUCUCAGUCAUAGUCUUUGCAUGCUUACUACUUGCUAAACGUAAGUACAAGAAACCCAAACUCGAGGAAAGAGCAACCAAUAACAUAGAUGUAUUUUCAAUAUGGAAUUAUGAUGGUAGAAUUGUCUACGAGGAUCUGAUUGAAGCCACGGAAGAUUUUCACAUUAAAUAAUGCAUUGGUACCGGAGGCUAUGGCAGCGUCUACAAGGCACAGCUUCCCAACGGCAAAGUAUUUGCACUGAAAAAGCUUCACACUUCAGAAACAGAGGAAUUGGCGUUCAUCAAGAGUUUCCGAAACGAGGCUCAAGUGCUUUCUCAAGUACUGCACCGUAAUAUUGUCAAAUUAUACGGUUUUUGCUUGCACAGAAAAUGCAUGUUUCUCAUUUACGAGUACAUGGAGAGAGGAAGCUUGUUCUGCAAUUUACACAUUGAUGAGGACGCUGUGGAGUUGGAUUGGGCUAAGAGGGUGAACAUUGUAAAAGCCAUGGCACAUGCUUUGGCUUACUUGCAUCAUGACUGCUCACCAUCAAUUGUUCACCGCGACAUAUCGAGCAACAACAUUCUACUUAACUCAAAAUUGGAGGCAUUUGUUGCUGACUUUGGCACUGCCAGGCUUCUACAUGCCCCGAUUCGUCCAAUCGAACUCUAUUAGCAGGAACAUAUGGAUAUAUAGCUCCAGGUUUACCCUUAUGAUAUCUAUUAUUCUCACGAUCGAUCCUUUAUUUGGUUCAAUUUUAUUUUAUUUUGCUUUAUAUUGCAGUCAUAUCCCAUAACAUCUCUCUUAAAUAGAUAGCCAGCUGGCUAGAGAAACUCACAAAUGAAAUUAUCUCUUUUAUUAGCGGGAAGCUACAUUCUAUGAUUACAUUUUUUUGUUUUGGGCAGAACUUGCCUACACCAUGGUUAUGACGGAGAAAUGUGAUGUUUAUAGCUUUGGAGUGGUGACACUUGAAGUAUUAAUGGGAAAGCAUCCAAGGGACCUUCUUUCGUCAUUAUCAUCAUCAUCUGAUCCAAAAAUCAUGUUGAUUGAUGUUUUAGACCAACGUCCUCCACCUCCAGUUGAUCGAAAGGUUAUUCGAGAUAUCCUUCUUGCUUCAACAAUUUCAUUUGCAUGCUUGCAAUCGAACCCAAAGUCUCGACCUACGAUGCAAUAUGUGUCUCAAGAAUUUCUCAUCACUCGCAAGACUCCAUUGGUAAAGCAUGCUGCUAUUCAAGAUAUUUCCAUCUCAGAACUUAGAAACUAAUAAAAGGAUGUAUUUGAUUGAUCAAUGUGAUUUGCUAAUCUUAAAUGUAUUUCAUUGAUGGUAUUUUGUAAAACUUUGGUGAGGGUGAAUUUUGGUGAAAUUGGUGUUUCCAAUCUAAACGAUUACAUCUUUAAUUAUUGUUUCUGAGUGAAUUGCAUGUGCAAAUAAGGUCAGCAAGUUUUGUUAUUCUGCUUAGGAAACCUUCUUCCAUCCGCAUUAUUUUUAUAAAUUAAUAUCGUGUGCAAUAUCUGCCUCUCGUUAUUAUCUUUCAACCGCACAAAUAAAUAAUCAUAAUAAUAGCAAUAAUUAUUGUAACUCAUGAGUUGUCCGAACAGUAAAUCAAAGUUGGAAUAUUUCCAUAUUGUGGCAUGACAUGGGCUUUUCUUCUCAAUCAAAUUUUAACAAAUUUUGGAUUCUCUAUUUUCACUAUUUAAUUGAGUAGACUGCAGUAUGAAUGUAGACAAAUCGUUAGCCUUACUUCACAGAAGUUUCAUUGCAAGUCGUUUUGCAUUGGCGCAUAAGAGUGAUCAAUUGAAUAGGAACGGCAAUGUUGAAGUUGAUAUGAUAAAAGCGAAAAUGACUAGAUAUUCCGCAAAGUCUAAAAUUCAAGAAAUUGAAGCACCAAUCAAGUGAUCAAAUUCUCUCAUGUAAUUAAUUAUCAUCAAUUGGCUUGAAGGUCGUCAAGAAGGCAGUGGGUUGACAAAUUAAAUUAAAUUGUUCUUUCAUAAAUGGUAAAUAAAUAUAAUCAAUCAAAGACCUAGGUCAUAUUUGGUAUUAAGGUAUUGUAAUUUCUAAGUUAUAACUACUUUGGAACAAAAAUGUAAUUAUAAAAUAAAAGCUGAGAAUGUAUAAUCAAUAUAACUUUUAACUAAUAUUUUUGCCAAAAAUAAUAAAGAUAUUAUAGGUUUCUCAUCUUACAAGUGUGAGAUCAAAUCAACUUAACUUUUAUACCACAAUUGGCAGUACUUGGUAUUAAUUUAUUGACUAUCUUGAGUCAAUAAAUUAAGGACAAUGACUAUCUUGAGUCAUGAAUAAAAGACCAUUUAUUUAUACUAAUAAAAAUCUGUGUGGCUCCAAAACCAAUUUUUACUGAUUACUUGAUUAUUUUUAUUCCCAGAAUGACACAAAUUACAAAUUUAUAGGGUAGAAAAUAACAAAACAAAAGUAAAAAAAAAAAAUUAUAGUACUAGUUAUUUUACAAGGGUAAUUCUAUCAAUUUGAUUGAUGACUGAUACAAUAAACUUAAGGUGAAAAAUUAAACAAAUUUAAAUUUUUAAAGUAUUUUUUAUAAUAAAGUAAACUUAAGAUGGAUAACCUAUAAUUUCCAUAUCAUUAUUUGUCCAAAUCCUCCAUUUAGACUAGCCAAAUGAAGUUAUUUGGAAGCUACUCUACCAGGCCCCAAGUUUACUAGUAAACGUGUGAUUGCCAGUCACUAAUAAAAAGAGAAAAAUAACAAAAAAAGCAAUGUUAUUGAGGAUAACCAAAAUAUAUGUGUAGAUUUACACCAAUCAUAUGCAGAAACCAAAUUCCCUCAAAAGUCUAAAAGGCCAUAGAAUACCUUGACUCGCUAUUGUGAUUGAAAAACGUGUGUGGCGAUUAAUGUACGGGCGGAGGAUUUAACGCGGGAAGAAAAAUAGAAGACGACUAUGAGUCUGCUCAUGGUGUCCUUUUCCAGGGUUAAAAUGUUUAUAUAAACUUUGUAAGAGCUUCAUGAAUCCAAUAGCUCCAUCAACCGAAAAGUUAAUUAUAAGCAUGGAUCCGGCAUCCUCCAUUUUCAGAUUGGCGGCCCUUGUAUGGGUUGUAAUUUUUACUUGUGAUAACGUUGCUGCUAGAACUGGUACAUUUGUGACAGCAUCUGCUUUGUCACCCUUACAGUUAGAAGCGAAAGCUUUACUCAAUACUGGCUGGUGGGACAGCAGCUUCUGGACGGCCAACUACUCUUCGGAUCAUUGCAAGUGGAUUGGAUUCACUUGCAAUUCAGCUGGAAGCAUAAUCGGGCUACACUUAUCAAGGGAUUAUGGUAGCUUCGAGGAACCGGUACAGCUUAGCCAAUUAAACUUUUCUUGCUUUCCGAACCUCGAAAAUCUGACAUUCCAGUCCUUUCCUCUUGCUGGAAGCAUACCACCAGAAAUUAGUGCUCUUUCAAAACUCCAACGGCUGGACUUGUCCUCGAACAGGCUUACAGGUAACAUACGAAAUUAACUUCACUACCGCAUAUUAUUUGAGCAAUGAUAUUUAAAUGGAUAAGUUUGAGAGAAUACUGACAAAAACAAAGGUAAACCUGGCCUAUUUUAUCAUAUUAAUUGAAAAAAAAAUAAUUAACAUGGUAAAAACACAUUUCUACCAUUGUUCCUAUUAAUAUCAACGUUUAAUUUCUUUAAUUCUUUUUUUUGGUUAUUUUCGUAAAUGGAUAACGUAAAUGUAUAACAGGUAGUAUCCCUUCAGAGAUUGGGAAUUUGAGGAAUCUUGUCUAUCUAAAUAUUUCUAAAAACAUCCUUACUGGAACUGUUCCUUCAACUCUUGGUAGUUUAACCAACUUGAAAAAUAUGGGCCUUUCUUACAACCAGCUCAGUGGUCCGCUACCUCAGGAAAUUGGGAACCUGAAGAAUCUAAUGGAGUUGGACUUGGGCACUAAUAGCCUAAUUGGGCCUAUUCCUUCAACUCUUGGUCGCUUAACCAAUUUGAAUUAUAUGAGCCUCUCUCGCAACAUGUUCGGUGGUCUACUACCUCAGGAAAUUGGGAACCUGAAGAAUUUGAUCGAGUUGAAUGUGGGCAGUAACAGCCUAAUUGGGCCGAUUCCUUCAACUCUAGGUCUUUUGACCGAUUUGAGCUAUUUGGAUCUUAGUUGUAACCAAUUCAGCAGCUCAAUUCCAAAUGAUACAACCAAACUUCUGGUAGAAAUGUGUUUUUACCAGAAGUGAUACAACCAAGUGAUACAACCAAACUUCUGGUUCUCUUUAUUGAAAUUUUUUUUCCCAUCACCGUAGUCAUAAUCUUUGCACGCUUGCUACUUGUUAAACGUAAGUACAAGAAACCCGAACUCAAGGAAAGAGCAACCAAUAGCAUAGAUGUAUUUUCAGUAUGGAAUUAUGAUGGUAGGAUUGUCUACGAGGAUCUGAUUAGAGCCACGGAAGAUUUUGACAUUAGAUAUUGCAUUGGUACCGGAGGCUAUGGCAGCGUCUACAAGGCACAGCUUCCCAACGGCAAAGUAUUUGCACUGAAAAAGCUUCACACUUCAGAAACAGAGGAAUUGGCAUUCAUCAAGAGUUUCCGAAACGAGGCUCAAGUACUUUCUCAAGUACUGCACCGUAAUAUUGUCAAAUUAUACGGUUUUUGCUUGCACAGAAAAUGCAUGUUUCUCAUUUACGAGUACAUGGAGGGAGGAAGCUUGUUCUGCAAUUUACACAAUAAUGAAGAAGCCGUAGAGUUGGAUUGGGCUAAGAGGGUGAACAUUGUAAAAGCCAUGGCACAUGCUUUGGCUUACUUGCAUCAUGAUUGCUCACCAUCAAUUGUUCACCGCGACAUAUCGAGCAACAACAUUCUACUUAACUCAAAUUUGGAGGCAUUUGUUGCUGACUUUGGCACUGCCAGGCUUCUACAUGCUGAUUCGUCCAAUCGAACUCUAUUAGCAGGAACAUAUGGAUAUAUAGCUCCAGGUUUACCCUUAUGAUAUCUAUUCUUCUCACGAUCGAUCCUUUACUUGCUUUAAUUUAAUUUUUUUUACUUUAUAUUGCAGUCAUGUCACCUAACAUCUCUCUUAAAUAGAUAGCCAGCUGGCUAGAGAAACUCACAAAUGAAAUUAUCUCUUUUAUUAGUGGGAAGCUACAUUCUAUGAUUACAUUUUUUUUUUUUGGGCAGAACUUGCCUACACCAUGGCUAUGACGGAGAAAUGUGAUGUUUAUAGCUUUGGAGUGGUGACGCUUGAAGUAUUAAUGGGAAAGCACCCAAGGGACCUUCUUUCAUCAUUGUCAUCAUCAUCUGAUCCAAAAAUCAUGCUGAUUGAUGUUUUAGACCCACGUCUUCCACCUCCAGUUGAUCGAAAGGUUAUUCGAGAUAUUCUUCUUGCUUCAACAAUUUCAUUUGCAUGCUUGCAAUCGAACCCAAAGUCUCGACCUACAAUGCAAUCAGUGUCUCAAGAAUUUCUCAUCACUCGCAAGACUCCAUUGGUAAAGCAUGCUGCUAUUCAAGAUAUUUCCAUCUCACAACUUAGAAACUAAUAAAAGGAUGAUCAAUAUAAUUGCUAAUCUUAAAUGUAUUUCGUUGGUAGCAUUUUGUAAAACUUUGGUGAGGGUGAAUUUUGGUUUCAUGAAAGCGUUGCCUUUCUUGAAUAAAAAUGAAAGUAACUCUUCUAAAGUGAAAUUGGUGCUUCCAAUCUAAACUAUUAAAUCUUUAAUUAUUUUUUCUGUGUGAAUUGCAUGUGCAAAUAAGGUCAGCAAGUUUUGCUAUUGUGCUAAGUCAUAUUUGUUAUUAAUGUAUUGUAACUUUUAACAAAUAACUACUUUAGAACAAAAAUGUAAUUAUAAAAUAAAAGUUGGGAGUGUAUAAUCAAUAUAAAUUUUAACUAAUAAUUUUGACAAAAUAAUAAAAAUAUUAUAGGCUUAUCGUCGUACAAGUGUGAGAUCAAAUCAACAAACAAGAUACUCAAAGGCAACAAACAAGAGACAUGCAAAUUUAGUGAUCUCUGUUUGUGUGAGGCUAAGGGUCAAUUUUGGAAUUAUUGUUCAAAUAGUCAAAAUUGAUUGUUUGAAAAGCGACAAACGUGUGUGCGUUGCUGUUCGGUAAAUUAUAUUAAUUUGACACUUAAAAAUUAAGAAAAAAAAAAGAAUAUUCUGGAUUAAACCAACUUGGAGAGGUUGCACUUGUAAUAUCUAUUCUUAAAAAAUUAAAAAAAAAAAAGAUAAAUUAUAUAGCCCGAAAAGACCUUGACUCCAAAAGUAGUCUCUACUUCAAUCUGUGGAAAAUUUUGAUACAAUUAAGUUCUAAAUUUUUCCACAAGAUAAUUGUUGUUGGUGGUACACGAUAAACACGUCUGCCUAGGUUUGUGGGAAAACUGGAAUAGAUUACAAAGACUGGAAUAAAUUAUAAUAAGGCUAAGCAAUAAGACCUGGUGCUCAAAUUCUAAAAGUAUUACAAAGACUUUUGGUACCUUCCUUAAAUUCACUUUAUACUUGAAUAGCCAUAUCUGUUCUUGUGAUUUCCUCAAGGAAAAAAGAUAAUAUGGAUCAUUUAACUCAGCCUUUUCAACUUUUGAUUUGCUUUCAGCUAUUGCACUUAUAUUUUCAGUUUUUUUUUUUCAGAUUAAUUAGUAACAUACAGUAAUAUAUUCUAAUUUGGACACUGCUAGCUUCUUCUAGAUGAUUAAACAUGGAAUUGGAGACAUCUUCUGCUCUGGGUUGUGGAACCAAAGUUACUCCUAUCGUUAUAAGCACUCAGUAUAGUUUGGAAUUUUACAAAACUGGCGACAAAUUCACCAAUUAACAAGUCUCCAUAACAAGAUUAUGAGCUAGUAUUAGUAACAAGACUUUGGCACUGCCAGGCUUCUGUAUGCUGAUUCGUCCAAUCGAACUCUAUUAGCAGGAACAUAUGGAUAUAUAGCUCCAGGUUUACCCUUAUGAUAUCUAUUCUUCUCAUGAUCGAUCCUUUAUUUGGUUCAAUUUUAUUUUAUUUUGCUUUAUAUUGCAGUCAUAUCCCAUAACAUCUCUCUUAAAUAGAUAGCCAGCUGGCUAGAGAAACUCACAAAUGGAAUUAUCUCUUUUAUUAGUGGGAAGCUACAUUCUAUGAUUACAUUUUUUUUUUUGGGCCAGAACUUGCCUACACCAUGGUUAUGACGGAGAAAUGUGAUGUUUAUAGCUUUGGAGUGGUGACGCUUGAAGUAUUAAUGGGAAAGCAUCCAAGGGACCUUCUUUCGUCAUUAUCAUCAUCAUCUGAUCCAAAAAUCAUGUUGAUUGAUGUUUUAGACCAACGUCUUCCACCUCCAGUUGAUCAAAAGGUUAUUCAAGAUAUACUUCUUGCUUCAACAAUUUCAUUUGCAUGCUUGCAAUCGAACCCAAAGUCUCGACCUACAAUGCAAUAUGUGUCUCAAGAAUUUCUCAUCACUCGCAAGACUCCAUUGGUAAAGCAUGCUGCUAUUCAAGAUAUUUCCAUCUCACAACUUAGAAACUAAUAGAGGAUGAUCAAUAUAAUUGCUAAUCUUAAAUGUAUUUCGUUGGUAGUAUUUUGUAAAACUUUGGUAAGGGUGAAUAUUGGUUUCAUGAAACCGUUGUCUUUUUUCCUCACAUACUUUCGAUGCUUUUCCAAAAUCUUAAUGGCUUUCGAAGUCUUCAUCUUGAGUUGAAUUCCACCAAAUUUUCUCUUUUCAGGUUUCAUUUACACCAAAUUUUCUCCAUUAUCCAUUCGUAAAUGAAUAUUGAAUCACCUUAGGAAUAUGCAAAACCUGUGAGGUUGAUACAAAGUAAUUAACAAAUCUUGGUUUGCCGACAAUUGAUUGUAGUCAGUUCCAAACUCUUUUCAUUAUCUUCUGAGAGCAACUUGAAUCUUUUAACUGAUGAAGAAGAUACUCAAAAAUACAAACAAGAGCAAUAAAUUAAUAACAAAGGCAACAAACAAGAGACAUGCAAAUUUAGAGUGCUCUCUCCGUGUGAAAUUAAAUAAAAUAAUUUACCGAACAAUAAUUCCAGAAUUAUAUAGCCCCGAAAGACCUUCACUUGUAACUAAAUUAUAUAGCCCCAAAAGACUCCAAAAGAAAUCUACUUCAAUCUUUGGAAAAUUUUGAUACAAGUUCUAAAUUUUCCACAAGAUAUCCCAAAGUGUAAUCUUAAAUGUAUUUCGUUGGUAGUAUUUUGUAAAACUUUGGUAAGGGUGAAUAUUGGUUUCAUGAAACCGUUGUCUUUCUUGAAUAAAAAUGAAAGUAACUCUUCUAUAGUGAAAUUGGUGCUUCCAAUCUAAACUAUUAAAUCUUUAAUUAUUUUUCUGUGUGAAUUGCAAGUGCAAAUAAGGUCAGCAAGUUUUAAUAUCGGUAAAUUAUAUUAAUUUGACACUUAAAAAUUAAGGAAAAAAAAGAAUAUUCUGGAUUAAACCAACUUGGAGAGGUUGCACUUAUGUAAUAUCUAUUCUUAAAAAAUUAAAAAAAAAAGAUAAAUUAUAUAGCCCGAAAAGACCUUGACUCGAAAAGUAGUCUCUACUUGAAUCUGUGGAAAAUUUUGAUACAAUUAAGUUCUAAAUUUUUCCACAAGAUAAUUGUUGUUGGUGGUGUCUGGCUCGUUUUAGACGUUUAGAAAUUGUUAGCAAUUGUUAAGAAAAAACAAAAGGUAAGCAAAAAUUAUAGUACUAAUUAUUUUACAAUGGUAAUUCUGUCAAUUUGAUAGAUAAUUGAUACAAAUAGUAAACUUAAGGUGAAAAAUAAAAAAUUGAAUAAAUUUAAAUUUUCAAAGUAUUUUUUUCUGUGUGAAUUGCAAGUGCAAAUAAGGUCAGCAAGUUUUGCUAUUGUGCUUAGGAAAUCUUCUUCCAUCCACAUUAUUUUUAUAAAUUAAUAUCGUGUGCAAUAAUUAUUGUAACUCAUGAGUUCUCAGAACUGUAAAUAAGAGUGGGAAUAUUUCCAUAUUGUGGCAUGACAUGGGCUUUUCUUCCCAAUCAAAUUUUAACAAAUUUUGGAUUCUCUAUUUCACUAUUUAAUUGAGUAGACUGCAGAUAUAAAUGUAGACAAAUGAUUAGCCUAACUUCACAGAAGUUUCAUUGCAUGUCGUUUUGCAUUGGCGCAUAAGAGUGAUCAAUUUAAUUGGAACGGCAAUGUUGAAGUUGAUAUGGUAAAAGCGAAAAUGACUAGAUAUUCCGCAAAGUCUAAAAUUCAAGAAAUUGAAGCACCAAUCAAGUGAUCAAAUUCUCUCAUGUAAUUAAUUAUCAUCAAUUGGCUUGAAGGUCAUCAAGAAGGUACUGGAUUGACAAAUUAAAUUACAUUGCUCUUUCAUUUCAUAAAUGGUAAAGAAAUAAAAUAUAAGACUUAGGUCAUGUUCAGUAUUUAGGUAUUGUAAUUUCUAAGUUAUAACCAUUGUGAAACAAAAGUUGUAACUAUAAAAUAAAAGGUGGGAGUGUAUAAUCAAUAUAACUUUUAACUAAUAAUUUUGAUUAAAAAAUUAUAAAGAUAUUAUAGGCUUCUCAUCAUAUAAGUGUGGGAUCAAAUCAACUUAACUUUUAUACCACAAUUGGCAGUACUUACUAUAUAAUUUUGUGCUAUAACUUAGAAAAUUAUAACUACCCAACAUCGAUACCAAACAAGACCUUAGUCUGCAAGCAUCUAUCAUUCCUUCCUUGUUUUAAAAUACUAGUCGUAUUAAGUCUUGAACUUGAAAUCAAUCUAACGGUACAGAGUUUUUUCCAAGUUCCAUCAGCAGCAAAUUUUCCUUUGCUUCCUCUGUUUCUUCAGAUAAACGCCACUAAAGAUAUCAAAAUUAUUGCUUGUUUGUUUCUGGAUUUUAGCUAUCGGUAUGAUACAUCCGCUGAGACCCCGGGUGCAUUUUUUCCUGCUCAAAUACCUAAUAGUCACUAACCAACCAAUAUGAAUUCUUGAAAAAGAACCAUAAAAAAAAUGAUUCUUUUAUUCAUAUUUCUCCAGAGAGAAAGAAGAAACAAAUAAUUAAGAGCUGAAAUUAUGUAACAGUAAUUAUCAAGAAGUUAAAUAUGGCAAUACCUAAUAUACAAGUUACCUACGGUUGAUCACUUGUAAUAUUAUGAUACAAUUAUCUACGGUUAAUCCAUGCAUGGUUCACUUGUAAUUUAUUGUCUUUUUAUUUUAGUUUUUCAAUUAUUAUUAUUAAUAAUAUUUUAGUUUCUUUAGUAAAAGAGAGGAAUUAUUUAGUCCGGAAUCCUAGAAUUCGGACGCACGGUGGGUUCCAACAUAUAUGCAGUAGAUAAAUAAAGAGAGCAAAGGCUGUUGGAUUGCAAUACAGAGUUUUCUAGAUAAUUUCCUAAUAAAGUAUAUUUAUCUCAUCAUAAUUAGUUUUGGUGGUUUAUAAAUGUUGAAAGUGUAAAUUUUGAAAUUUCACCUACUUUUAAUUAAAUUUUAAAUAACCUAAGAUAAAUUUUCAUGAUCGAAAAAAGCAGAUAAUUAUUUGAGGAACCAUGUUAUGAUACAUUAUAAUGUAUCAUAUAUUAACCUAUUCCAACAAUGUAAAACUUGAUUCAAUAAAACUACGAUUGAAUUUACAAAAAUAACUUUUGGAUUUGAUGCAUCAUACAUUAUCAUUAUAAAUUAUCCUAGCAACAUCCUAAUUUAAUAAUCACUUUUAGAAUAAGUUUACUAUUUAUUUUUUGUAAAAAGAUUUUUUUUAUUCCUUUACAUACAAUAAAUAUAUAAUUUAUUCUAGCUCAACCAAAGAUGUCUAUUCUUAAAUGAAAUAAGAUUUCAUAAUGUCGUUAUCUAAAAUUUCUGAAUUAUUUAAGAGUAAAAUUAAUAAAAUAAUUUACACAAUUGAAUGCCAAUAAUAUUGUAAGGUUAUAUUUAUGAUAACGAUUAAUAAUCUCAUUAAUUUCUGAUAAAGUUUAUAAAAAAUUAUUUAAAAAUUUAGAAAAGCUAAUAAAAAUAUAUAUUUGUUUCUAAAGUUAAAUUUAAUUUUUUUUAAAAUUAAAUGUAAAUUUUUAGGGAGAUAAUAAUAAAGUAAUUUAGAAAGGAAAAUGAAAAGAAAAGGAAAGACGUCCAUAACCGUUGGACCUUAGCGGCUAGUUUGUCAGUAAAGCAACCGAGUCAAAAUUUUCUUUAAGCAAGGAAACAACAGCACAACGACUUUUGAAGAAGAUAAGGGCUAAGUUAUAUGUAAUAUAAUUUACACCACUCAUUUAACUAGUGAAUAAACUCCACAUUAUUUUUUGUUCAUGUGAAUGAGUAUAAGUUAUAUUACAUGUAACUUAAGGUUCCCUUUGAAGAAUUAAAACUCACUACUAUGCGCCACGUGUCGGCCUAUGUUCCUCUUUGCGGUUACAUCGCUCUGCUCUCAACGAUCUUUGUGUUGCCACUUCGGCCUUGGUCGAAGUGGUGGGCUGCUGCCCUCACAAGCAUUGUGAGGGCAGCGGUUCUAGCCCCCACAAAAGCAUUGUGGGGGCUAAAUGUUCUUCAUAUUUAAAAAUUUUUCUCCCUUGUAAAAUACGUGUGGAGUAUGGAUAUCCCUCUCCUGUGAGGGGUUAUUUGUCUAGGCAUGUACUUCAUAGAAUUCAAUAUAAUAAUGUAAGUCCCAAUCAUGUAUACUUGAUUGUAAAUAUCAGUAUAAUAUCUUUGCUAUAAUAAUAGUUGUUGUAAAUACUUAUAUAAUACAAUAAUCUGAUGGUUAAUCAAUAUUAAAAAAAAAAACGAUCUUUGUGUUUUUCAUGUUUUAUUUUUUCGAAAGACUUAACUAUCUUUGUUUACUUUAUGUCUAAAGAGCAAGCUCUCCUCAACUCACAACCGUUAGAUUAGAUUAUUUUAGCUAUUCGACGGCCAAAAAGGUAACAAGACUAAAAGUAAAGGGAGCCGUUGUGGGAUCCGCUUGAAUGAUGGAAACCCGACACGUCGCUAUCAAAUUUCUUUUUAAACUAUGUGGUGGUAGUGGUAAUAACAUUAAGUCCCUAAAUUUUUGAAACAUCAUAAGUAAAGACAUAUCUUGCAAAAAUAUUCAUAGAAGUCCUAUCCUUAGAAUUUGUUAAAGAUUCACAAGUAAAAUCAAUCAUUUAACCGUUAAAUAUUUGAAAAUCGGCUUACAGAUAAACUUAUUUAUCUCCAUAUUUUGAGAAACAUAUUAUUGAACUUUCAACAAAACUUGACUAUAUAUACGAUAUAAUUCAUAACAUGACUUUCUAAUUCAAUAAACAAUGAUAUAAAUUAAGUUAAUAAAUUCAAAUUAAUCUAAAAUUACACAAGUAUUAAUCGUAUAAAAUAUAUAUAAUUUAUUUACUAACCUGUUUGGGUUUAGAUUUUUUUUCAAUAUUGUAUAUGACAUGAUAAUUAUGGUAAUAACCAUAUAGGUCCUCAAUAUUAUUUAAAUAAAAAAUAUUAAACCGGUGAAAAUUAAAACAAAAUCUAAUUUAAAGAUAUGUUAAUCAUGCUUUUAUCAAUCGUGUGCUAAAUUAGUGUUUUAAGCUUUUUAGCUUGGCCGAACUUGUGCCGCCCAAAAUUUUCACGAGGAAGAAUACCAUAAAUAAUCCAACCUAAACUACUACAACAGGGUCUCUGCAAAAAUAUUAUCUAUCACUUAUGACCUUUCAUUUAAAUUUCUGUAAACAUUAGGGACCUUCUUGCUAUUAUCUCAAAAGAAAUCAGGUUCUUCAAGCCUAUAAAUACAAAGAGUCAUUCACAAUUGCUCAUGUUACAAAACCAAAACAAGAUAUAAUUUGGAGGAAAAAAAAUUCAUAUCACAAAAUCAAAAUCUCUAACACUCUUUAAGUUCUAAUGCAGCGAUGGGGCAGGUUAGUAUUUGCGGAUCUGUGGCUUUGAUUCUCUUUAUUGCAGCGCUUCUCCCAAUGACAGCUGUCGGCAGUGAACAGGAUGUCGACCUGGCGCCGUCGCCGAGCAUGGACGCCGGAGCUGCGUUCCUGGUGACUGUUUCCGGUGGCUUUGUUUGCUCCUUACUCUUCCUCUCAGUCAUUGCUCUACUAUUGCAGUAAUAGGUUCUUGAGAGACUCAGAUUUUGAUUUUAUAUUUUAUAUUUUAUUUUUGUUAUUAGGAUAUUUAUUACUUUUGAAAUUUUUGGGUAUUUUUUUAAUCGCUAUUUGGUGGGAGUGCAUGUGUUUGAGUUGCUGUGAGUGAGAAUAUUGGAAUCGGAUCCGGUGCUCAGCUGAUCAAUGGUCAGCAAUUGCUUGGAGCCCACAUAAAGCCUAGCACAGCUGAGCGUCCGAGAAUAUUAGUUUUAAUAAUUCGAUUAUUUUUCCUCUAAUCUUUGGUUAGGGUUGUUUUUUCCUUUUCUUUUUUUUACGGUCUUGAUAUUAUAUUAUAUUUUAAUUAUAAAAAUUGGUUUUGUUAUUUAUCAUCUUUCGUCUCUCUUUAAUAUUCAUCGUGCUUAAUAUUGUUAGCUCCAUUUUACUUCGCUACUAAAAAUGUCCCAGAGAUCAUUUCUAUUAUAUGUAUUGUUAAUCUUAAGUAUAUUUAGUACAAAAACUAGCUGAAGGAAAUUGACUUUAAAUAAGAAAAAAAAUCUAUUUAGAUGGUUAAAAUCUAAAGUUAAUUGAAAAUCUAUUGCAAAUUAAUAAUUCAAAAUCCGUGUCAUUAUUUUAAGCCAAAAAUUUCUCAAGAAAAAUUGAACUGGGAUAGUUUUAUGUAGUUUCAUACUUUCAAUUUCAAAUGGGCCGGUUUAAUAAUUAGGAGUGGCGCUAUCGGCACCCCCCCUGAUAUUCUUCUCAAACCCCUUUUCUGUUUAUUUCCUCCUCAAUUCCUAAAAUAGCUUUUAUCUGUAAUUUUUCCGCAAACAAUUUCAACCUCCUUUGGAUAACAACCCAAUAUUUUGUAUCCUAUGCGCUUAAUUUAUUAUGAGGUUUCUAUUUGUUUUAGUUUUAUACUUUUCAGUUUAUGAAAUUAUAUUUCAAAAUAAAUAUGUAUAAAAUACACUCAGGUGGUGUUUGGUUUUCAGAAAGAGGAGGAGAAGAAAAGAGUGGAAUGAAGGGGAAAGGAGAAGAGAGGAGUGGAAGAGAAUAGUGAAAUUAAAUUUUAUUAUUUGGUUUGACAUAAAAUUUAAUAGAAAAAGGAAUUGUAAUUUUUUUCUUUGGACAAAUUUAUCCUUUACCUUAAAUAUUAAAUUAUCUAUAUUACUAAUAAAAUAUAAUUUAAUAUUAAUACUAAACUUUUUUAAUUUCAAAAAGUUUUAAAACAAUUCAUGAUUUAUAUUUAAUAUAAAAUAAUUUAACAUCUUAAACUAUUUAAUAUUAAAUAUAAUUUAAUAUAAAUAAAAGUCGGUCAAUAUAAGUCAACGACGGUCAACAUCGGCCGGCUAUUUUCCUACGGAAGUCUGGUGUGCCGGCGGUGGUCCGGCUAAGUUCCGGUGAAGGUCCGAUAGUUAAUUUAUAUUUAUAUAUUUUCAUAUUAAAUAAAUAAAUAAGUUUAUUUAUAAUAUUAAAUUGAUAAAAUAAAAUUAUAAAUAAUAAUAAUUAAUAACAUUAAAGAAGUUGAAAUGUUGAAGGGCAAUUUUGGAAACUUGUGUUUUCAACAUAAGAGGAAUUUAAAUUCUUCACUCUUUGGUGUGAAAUUUAAAUUCUACAUUAUAAGGGAUAUUAAAUUCUAAUAAAAAUUAAAUUCUUAUAUAUUUUGCGCAAUCAAACAAUGGAAAUAAAAGUAGAAUUUGAAUUACUUUCCUCUCCCCCAUUCUCUCUCCCCAACCAAACAUCUCCUUAAGGUUUAGUUAUCUCUUAGCAUUCUAAUAACGUUCGUAAUUUAUGAAAAUUUUAUGAAAUUAUCUUUCCUACAAAAAUAAAUUGUUAAGUGAAAAAAAAUACUUCAUAUCAAAUUCUUGCUCUUUACCAUUGACCUUUUUUUCCAAAAAAAAAAAAAAUGCAACUUUUACGUGCUUUAGUGGAGAAAGAGUCAGUGAGAAAAAAUCAUAUAUGGAUUUAAUAAGAUAAGAUUUUGAGAAAGAGUCAGUGAGAAAAAAUCAUAUAUGGAUUUAAUAAGAUAAGAUUUUACAGCGAAUACAAUUCAAGAUACAAGGGAUAAAAUUGUAAAUGUAUAACAAGAGCGGUUUUAUAAGAAAAAUACAGGGCUGCCAAUAGUAUCACUCAAUAUUUAGACCAUCUACUUAUAUUGUAGUUUUAUGUCGUUUCAUACUUUUGAUUUCAAAUGGGCCGGUUUCAUAAUUAGACCAUCUACUUAUGUUGUAGUUUCAUACUUUCGAUUUCAAAUGAGCCGGUUUAACAAUUAGACCAUCUACUUUCAUCAUACUUCUCUUGAAAUUCAAUUUUUUCCUUACAUACUUUCUGUGCUUUUUCCAAAAUCUGAUUUACACCAAAUUUUCUCCAUUAUCCAUUCGCAAAUGAAUAUUAUCCAUUAUGCAAAACCUGUGAAGUUGAUACAGAGCAAUUAACAAAUCUUGGUUUGCAGACAAUUGAUUGUAAUCAGUUCCCAAACUCUUUUCAUUAUCUUCUGAAAGCAACUUGCAUCUGUUGAGGUUAACUGAUGAAGAAGAUACUCAAAAAUACAAACAAGAAAUUAAAAACAAAGGCAACAAGCAAGAGACAUGCAAAUUUGUGAAAUUAACUACAAACGUGUGUACCUUGCUGUUCGGUAAACAAAUUAUAUAGCCCGGAAAGACAUUGACUCCAAAAGAAAUCUACUUCAAUCUUUGGAAAAUUUUCCAAGAUAUCCCCAAAUGUAAUUUUCAAACAAUUGUUGUUGGUGUUGUCGAGCUCGUUUUAGACGUUUAGGAAUUGUUAGAACUCGUAUAAGGACAAUGACUUCUUGAGUCAUGAAUCAGUCUUCGUUUACUGAUUAUUUGAUUAUUUUUAUUCCCACAAUGACACAAAUUACCAAUUUAUAGAGUAGAAAAUAACUUGUCAUGAAUAGAAGAAGACCAUUUAUUUAUACAUGGAAUUAUGGAUUAAUAAAAGUCUUUGCUCCUCCAAAACCAAUUUUUAUUGAUUAUUUUAUUAUUUGAUUAUAUAUGUUGGACCAAAAAUAAAAUAAGCCUAAUAAGACCCAAAUAAAUUUAAUCUCAAUAAGGCUCAUCUAAUAAAUUUUCUCUCAAUUAAACCCACAAAGUGGUGGACAAAUCACUUAGAAUGAUCCUCCUAAGUAACAAGGUUUCAAAACCCAAAAGAUGUCAAUAAUAAUAAUAAUAUUUAAUUUUUUUUUGGUGGAUGAUUGAUACCAAUUAUAAACUUAGAAUAAAAAAAUUGAAUGAAUUUAAAAUUUUAUAUUACUUUUUGAUAACAAGAUAAAUAUAAAUAGAUGACUAAUAAUUUUUCCACAAUUAAUCCUAAUUCUUCAUUUUUGAAUUUGAGUGGCCAACAAAUAAAAUUAUUUGAAAACUGCUCUAUCCUGAGAGUUAUUGGUAGAUGCAUGAUUGCUAAAUUCUAACCACAAGAAAAAAAUAACAAAAAAGAAAUUUAAUUGAGGAAAAUCAAAUAUCUAUAAAGAUUUGUACCAAUCAUGUACACAAAUCAAACUCCCUCAGUGUUCUAAAGUGUAAAGACCAGAGAAGACCUUGACUCACUAUUGUGUUUGAAAACAAGUGUUGCUAUUUCAACGCGGGAAGAAGAUGAUUAUGGGCCUGCUCAUGGUGUCCUUUUCCUGGGUUAAAGUGUCUAUAUGAACUUUAUAAGAACUUGCAGAAUCCAAUCAACCGAAAAAUUACAAUCAUGGAUCCGGCAUCCUCCAUUUUCAGAUUGGCGGCCCUUGUAUGGGUUGCAAUAUUUACAUGCGCUAACGUUGCUGUUAGAACUAGUACAAUUGUCACAGCAUCUGCUUUGUCACCCAUUGUUAGAGUGCAAUUUAUGCACUAGUUUUGCAUUGUUUACUUCCCUUAAUAUCGAUGUUUUGCACUUAAUAAUAGUGAUUUACUUGUGAUUUACUUUUGUAGGUGCAAUUCUAUUGAUUGGUGAUAAAAUUGAGCUACAAGAUGAUGUUUAGGGAUGAUAGUUCCCUUGGAGAAAUUAUGAGCGGCAGAAGAACUUUGUUGAUAAGGCGUGGGCGUGUGCUGUCAAUUGCGGACCUGUAGUUUUUAGUUUAACGUGUUUUAUAUUUUUGGCUAUUUUUGUAAUUACGAAUUUAAUAUUUUAGAUAUUAGUAUUUUAUUUUAAAUAGAACUCUAAAAGAGAAGAGAGAGAGAGUAUUUAAGGGAGGAAUCUAUUGUGAAAAAGGGGGAUUUUUGGAUUGGAGAAAAAGAAAGAAACCCUAGAUCUAAUUUUUCUCUUCUCUCUAUGAAGAGCUAAACCUAUUUGUCUGGUUGAAGGAAUUAACUCAGCUUGAUUCAACUACUGAUCAUUGAUUCAAAUAUAGAUUAUUAUUAUUAAUUAUGAAUAGACCGGUUAUAGCUACUGAGACCCUCUAAUAGCCAAUCUCUCCUUAACUAGUCGAUAACCAAGGUACGACCGUUGGUUAUUUCCCUAAUCAAUAGACAACCCUAGAUACGAUCAUAGGAUUUAAUCAAUUGACAGCCUGAAAAACCAGAGAGACCCAAAUCCUAAUCAACACAUAUGAUGAUUCAUUUAAAUUAGAUUGUUAUUCUCACAACACAACUCUCUGCUAUGUUAUUUGUCACAAACAUUAAAUCCUUCAUACGAUGAAUCCUUUAAUUGACAAUAGAUUAAGUUGAUAAUUAAAUAGUGGUCAAUUACCUAAUUAACAAACAUAAUCAUGAAACAAACAUAAUCAUGAGACAGCAGACGAAGCGAGCCUCGCAACGAUCCUCAUUGCCUUUGCUUUCUGAAACAGAUACAGUGCCAGAUUUAGUUGAAUCAUCUAGCGAUUCAGAAGAACAAGUGAUGGAUAGACCUGCACCUGUAGAAAGAACUCUUAGAGAGUUAGCUGAACCAGACUUGAAUCAGCAACCACUCUGCAUUCAAUAUGUAGAUUUGGAGGUAAAUUUUGAAUUAAAGUCUGGUCUUAUUCAUUUAUUACCCAAGUUUCAUGGUUUUGCAGGUGAAGAUCCUCAUAUACAUCUUAAGGAGUUUCAUGUUGUAUGUUCAAGUAUGAGACCACAAGGCGUGACUGAAGAGCAGAUUAAGCUGCGUGCUUUUCCAUUCUCUUUAGAUGGGUUAGCUAAAGAUUGGUUGUACUACUUGCCUCCUGGAUCGAUUACAACGUGGAAUGGUUUGAAGAAGCAGUUCCUCGAGAAGUACUUUCCUGCUUCAAGAGCUGCCAAUAUCAGAAAAGACAUUUGUGGGAUCAGACAACUUCCUGGGGAGACUUUGUAUGAGUAUUGGGAGCGAUUCAAACAAUUGUGUGCCAGCUGUCCUCAGCAUCAGAUUUCUGAUCAACUUCUUUUUCAAUAUUUUUACGAAGGACUAUCAUUGAUGGAUAAGAGUAUGAUAGAUGCUGCUAGUGGAGGCGUGUUGGUGAACAAGACCCCUACUCAAGCAAGGGAGUUGAUAUCAAAUAUGGCUGCCAAUGCACAACAAUUUGGCAGCAGGCAAGAUCCUACUUCAAGGAAGGUGAAUGAGGUAAAUAUUUCUUCUGUUGAACAACGUUUAAAUAAACUCACUUCUCUUGUGGAAAAGUUUGUUGUAGGUAAUGUGCAACAGGUGAAGACUUGUGGUAUUUGUUACAAUAUGGGUCAUUCAACUGAUAUGUGUCCUACACUUCAAGAAGAACCCGUUGAACAAGCCAAUGUAGUUGGAGGAUUUCCAGGCAUGCCUCAGAGGAGGUAUGAUCCUUAUGCACAAACAUACAAUCCGGGAUGGAAGGAUCAUCCCAACUUCAGCUAUGUAGUUAGGCCGUCAGGAUUCCCACAACAGUAUCCACCAAGACAACCAGCACCUCCACAGUCAACCUCCAAGUCAGGUAUAUCUCUUGAAGAAAUUGUUAAAUCACUUGCGACUAACACUCAACAAUUUCAGCAGGCAACUACAGCAAGCAUUCAGAACUUGGAGAACCAAAUGAGUCAAUUGGCGACUACAGUAAGCCGUCUGGAGUCUCAAGUAUUAGGAAGAUUGCCUUCACAAUCUGAGGUGAAUCCAAAGCAAAACGUUAGUGCUGUCAUCCUUAGAAGUGGGAAGGAGUUGCAAGAGCCUAGUAAGAAAGUGACAAAGCAUGUAAAAGAUGAGCUUGAGAAGAAUGAAUUGAUGCCUAAAUCUUAAGAUGCGCAACACACCAGAGCGAAACCCCUACCUAUUGUGAUACCUCCUCCUUUUCCAAGCCGGUUUACAAAAUCCAAGAAGGAUGAACAAGAGAAAGACAUCCUUGAGACAUUUCGCAAGGUUGAGGUAAAUAUUCCUUUAUUAGAUGCUAUAAAACAAAUACCUCGAUAUGCUAAAGUCCUUAAGGAACUGUGCACCUCCAAAAGAAAAUUAAGAGGAGAUGAAAAAGUUCACAUGGGGGAGAAUGUUUCAGCAGUUCUCCAAAAGAAACUACCUCCUAAGUGCAAGGAUUCAGGUAUGUUUACUAUCCCAUGUAAAAUUGGUAGUGUUAGAGUUGAAAAUGCUUUGUUAGAUCUAGGAGCUUCUAUUAAUGUCAUGCCUCGUUCCAUUUAUUCAUCUUUGAAUAUUGGUCCAUUAAAAGAAACUGGUGUGAUAAUUCAACUAGCUGAUAGGUCUAAUGCAUAUCCUGAUGGGGUAUUAGAAGAUGUCUUAGUACAAGUUAAUGAGUUGGUUUUUCCUGCUGAUUUUUAUGUACUUGAUAUGGAAGAUGAUAACUCCUCUAAUUCUGUCCCAAUUUUACUAGGAAGACCUUUUCUUAAGACUGCUAGGACUAAAAUGGAUAUACAUAAAGGGACUCUCACUAUGGAGUUUGAUGGAGAGGUUAUAGAAUUCAAUAUGAAUGAUGCCAUGAAAUAUCCUAGUGAGGAACAUUUGGUAUUUUCUGUGGAUGUUAUUAACCCUAUAGCGCAGGAAAUUUUUUACAAGGAAAAGACGAAGACAUUUCAUGAUAGAAUGAUUUUGAGAAAGGAGUUCUGUGUUGGUCAAAAAGUUCUUCUUUUUCAUUCUAAGCUUAAACUUUUUCCGGGUAAAUUACGUUCUUGUUGGGUUGGACCUUUUAUUGUUACUAAUGUUUUUCCUCAUGGUGCAAUUGAGAUUCGGAGCCCGACCUCUGACAGAGUUCUUAAGGUUAAUGGUCAUCGCUUAAAACCUUUUUAUGAAGGUUUUUCGGUGAAUAUUGUGGAGGAUGUGGCUCUCGAAAGUCCAAAUUAUGGAGAUUGAUGCAUAAAUGUGUCUAGCCAAAGACAUAAAACAAAGGCGCUUUUUGGGAGGCAACCCAAGUGAUUUAUUUAUUUUGGUUUUUGUUAUAUCUUCUUUUAAUUUUGAUUCAGAUUUUUUUAAAUAAUGUGUUUGCUUAUUUUGGUCAGAAGAAAAUUUUUGAUAAGGCGUGCCCACGUCUUAACUAAUAAGUACUUCUGUAAUUUUUAAAGUAAAAUAGUUUUAAGGCGUGCCCACGUGCUUAUUAGAAAAGUACUUCUGAAAUUUUUAGUGUCUCAAAGUGAUUCAUUACUAAAAAAAAAAAAAAAUUUUAAUUUAAUUUAUUUUAUUUUAUUUAUUUAUUUCUUUUGUUCUUUCUUUUAUAUAUAUAUAUUUUUAUUUAUUUAAAAAAAUCAAAAAAAAUAUAUAUUUACUAUUCACAAAAUCCCUAAUUUUCCAGAAAUUGUUUUCUUCUCCAGCCGUUUGCAGCACGCCAGCAACAAACCAGCCAGCCAGAGAAUGCAGCAUCAGUCGCGCGCAACGCAAGCACCAGCCACGAGCACGCCCCGCAACGCAACUCAGAACCAGCUCUCGCGCGCAACAGUCCCGCAGCAACACAGCCACGCAGCAGCUCUCGCGCGCAACACAGCCACGCAGACAGCAUCCUGCACACAACCAGCAGUGCGCAACCAGCCCCAAGCCGCGCAGCAAGCUCCAGCCGAGCACGCAACGCAACAAGCGUCACCAGCGCGCGCACCAGCAAUCCCCCAGCGCGCAGCAACAGCCGCAGCACGCAGAUCCAGCGUCACCAGUUCGCAGCAUCAGUCCCAUCCACGCGCAACUGAACCACCAGCCGUGUACCCGCAAGCUCCAGUCGAGCAGCAAUAGUCCGCAACCAGCCUACGACCUGCAUUCCAGCCGCAUGAAUCGAAAUCCGUGACAAGAUGGAGCAGAAUUUGGCCGCAUACUUCAAGAGUGUGGGAUUUAUCCCACCAUUCCCGCCAAGCCCAUAGACGUUAUGAGGAUCAAAGCUCACAAUUCAGGGAAGUUUUUGCCUUUAAUCUUUUAUCCUUACGCUUUAAUUUUUAUGUGAGCUUUGAUUAUCUUACAUUGGGGACAAUGUAAGUUCUUGGUGUGGGGGAGGGAUUUUUGCAUUAUUGAUGUCUGGAAUUAUUAUUUUCACUCUACUCAUCCUUAAAUGAUUUUGGAGUUAGUAUGCUUUAUAUAUUAUUAAUUUUCUUUUCCUUUAUCUCUCACUACUUUUCUCCCAUCUAUCUCAAACUAUUCAUAUCUAUUUUUAUUUUACCAUACUCUUUCAUCACUCACAUUUUAUCUUUCACUUUUCAUAUUACUACAUACAUCUUUCUCACUUCUUAUCAUUUUUACUUUUUCUUUUAUAUAUCACUCAUACCUUCUUCUCAUUCUACACCACUAUCGAUGGUUGAUUCAUUUGAAGAGUGUACAUGAUUUGAUGGCAAAUUUACCAACUUUGUGAGGAUUUGAGCCUAUGAGCAACCACUUUGCUCUAAUUAUUUUUGUUAUGUGAAUAUCAAUCCUAGUUUGUUUAUUCUAGAACUUGCUUUGUUAUGCAUGUUGAAGCCACAUUACGGGAUUUUAGGCAUUAAAAUGAUAAGGGCAAACCAUUUACCAUUUUUCUAUUCUCGCAUUUUCCUUUUUCUCUACCCGAAGACCUUUAUUUGCUACCUUUGUUUGAGCCUUUACCAUUACCCAUCUAAUUCUCUCCGUCUACUUAACCAUUUUUCUUCUUUUUUAGCCUCAAUUUAAGGAGAUUUUUGGACUCAUUGUGUGGAUAUAUUUUGUUGCUUUUUCUACCUUGUAUUGAAGUUUCUCAAUUAGAUCAACAAGUAUUAUGCUUGAAUUAAAUUGUGCAAGGUUCGUUUCUUUUGUUUGAUUCGAAAAAAAAAACAACAAAAAAAAAUGAAAAAAUGAAAAAAAAAAUGAAAAAGAAAAGGAAAAAGAAAAAAAAAAGAAAAAGAAAAAAAAAGAAAAAGAAAAAUCGAAAAAAAAAAUGUUUACAUUCUUGGUGACUUGAGUAGAAAUAAGCAUUUUGAUAUCAUAAGUUCAUUCAAUGAGUUCAUUCUUCUCAUUUUGAUCUCUUUUUCUUUCGUAAACCUUUCUUUUUCAUUUAACCCAUUUAACCCCAUUACAACCCUUUUAAGACCCUUAGAUUUUUGCAUUUUAUUCAUGUUUUGUGGAUUGAGAUGUGAUUUAUGAGCAAGCUUAUGGUAAUAGCAUUCUUUGAUUUGAUUUGAGUGGAUAAAUGACACCCUAAACACUUUGAGUGCAUGGAGUGAAGUUAUUGAGAGGGCUAUUACAUCUUGUUGCACUUGAAUUUUGAAUGGAUCUUCUUGGUGGUUGAAUGUUCUUAUUCUAUCUUAUGAGAUUCUAUGCUUUAAAAUCCUUGUCUCUCGAAUGUUGAUCGACUUAAUUUCUUGAGGUAUGCUUGCUUAAAAUUAUUUUUGGAUGAGUUGAGAUGAGAAUUGAGUGGAAAUUUGAGAUUAAUCUUGAGUUAUAUGCUUGAGGACAAGCAUCAUCUUGGUGUGGGGGAAUUUGUUAGAGUGCAAUUUAUGCACUAGUUUUGCAUUGUUUACUUCCCUUAAUAUCGAUGUUUUGCACUUAAUAAUAGUGAUUUACUUGUGAUUUACUUUUGUAGGUGCAAUUCUAUUGAUUGGUGAUAAAAUUGAGCUACAAGAUGAUGUUUAGGGAUGAUUGUUCCCUUGUAGAAAUUAUGAGCGGCAGAAGAACUUUGUUGAUAAGGCGUGGGCGCGUGCUGUCAAUUGCAGACCUGCAGUUUUUAGUUUAACAUGUUUUAUAUUUUUGGCUAUUUUUGUAAUUACGAAUUUAAUAUUUUAGAUAUUAGUAUUUUAUUUUAAAUAGAACUCUAAAAGAGAAGAGAGAGAGAGUAUUUAAGGGAGGAAUCUAUUGUGAAAAAGGGGGAUUUUUGGAUUGGAGAAAAAGAAAGAAACCCUAGAUCUAAUUUUUCUCUUCUCUCUAUGAAGAGCUAAACCUAUUUUUCUGGUUGAAGGAUAAUGAAGCUUUGAUUCAUCACUACUGUGAGAUCUUUCUUAUGCUUUAAUUGUUUUAUUACUUUUUGGGUAUUUGUUUAUUCUCUGAAUUAGUUUCAUGAUUAUGUUUGUUAAUUAGGUAAUUGGCCACUAUUUAAUUAUCAACUUAAUCUAUUGUCAAUUAAAGGAUUCAUCGUAUGAAGAAUUUAAUGUUUGUGACAAAUAACAUAGCAGAGAGUUGUGUUGUGAGAAUAACAAUCUAAUUUAAAUGAAUCAUCAUAUGUGUUGAUUAGGAUUUGGGUCUAUCUGGUUUUUCAGGCUGUCAAUUGAUUAAAUCCUAUGAUCGUAUCUAGGGUUGUCUAUUGAUUAGGGAAAUAACCAACGGUCAUACCUUGGUUAUCGACUAGUUAAGGAGAGAUUGGCUAUUAGAGGGUCUCAGUAGCUAUAACCGGUCUAUUCAUAAUUAAUAAUAAUAAUCUAUAUUUGAAUCAAUGAUCAGUAGUUGAAUCAAGCUGAGUUAAUUCCUUCAACCAGAGCUUUCUCCAAUUUGAAUUACAACUUUAAUUUGCAUUCUUGUUAUUUUGAUUUGAUUUUUAUUAUUGUCAACAAUUCCCCCAUUUUACGUUUUACGUUUCAAAAGGAUUUAAAUAAUUACCGAUCUCUGUGGACACGACCCUGCUCAAUCACUAUACACAAUUUAUUUAGAGUAGGAAUUUAUUUUUGUUGGCUUCAACACCCAUCACCCAUACAGUUAGAAACGAAUGCUUUACUCAAUACUGGCUGGUGGAACAGCACCUGGACGACGGCCAACUACGAUUCGGAUCAUUGCAAGUGGGAAGGCAUCACUUGCAAUUCAGCAGGAAGCAUAAUCGAGCUACACUUAUCAGGGGAUGAUAAUAGCCAAUUAAACUUCUCUUGCUUUCCGAACCUCGAAAAUCAGACAAACCAGUUCUUUCCUCUUACUGGAAGCAUACCACCAGAAAUUACUGCUCUUUCAAAACUCCAACUGCUGGACUUGUCCUCGAACGGGCUUACAGGUAACAUACGAAAUUAACUUCAUUACCGCAUAUUAUUUGAGCAAUCAUAUUUAAAUGGAUUAAGUUUGAGAGAAUACUGACAAAAACAAAGGUGAACCAGCCCUAUUUUAUCAUAUUAAUUGAAAAAAAAUAAUAAUAAUUAACACGGUAGACACACCUGUUUACACCAUUGUUUUUAUUUAUGCUCUAUCAACGUUUAAUUUCUUCAACAUUUUUUUUCAUUAUUUUCGUAGACUAAUAACAUAAAUGUAUAAAAUAGGUACAAUCCCUCCAGAAAUUGGGAACCUGAAGAAUUUGAUCGAGUUGAAUGUGGGCAGUAACAGCCUAAUUGGGCCUAUUCCUUCAGCUCUAGGGAGUUUGACCAAUCUGAGCAAUUUGGAUCUUUCCUCUAACAAACUUUCUGGAAAAAUUCCUCCAGAGAUAGCAGGUAUGAAGAAUCUAACCUGGUUGGACCUAUCAAAUAACAACAUAAAAGGUUCAAUUCCCGGUGAGAUCACCGAAUUAUCUCGACUUGAUUAUCUAGAUCUUUCCUCUAACAAACUUUCUGGCCCAGUACCGUUUUCAAAUAAACAUCUCUCAAGCAUGCAUACAGUAAGACUCCAUCAUAACAAGGGUUUGUGCGGCAAUAUUCUUGAUCUUCCCUCAUGCGAUACAACCAAACCUGGCACUCUGUUUGUUGAAAUUUUUCUUCCCCUCGCCAUAGUCCCCUCAGUUAUAGUCUUUGCAUGCUUACUAGUCGUCAAACGUAAGUACAAGAAACCCAAACUCAAGGAAAGAGCAACCAAUAGCAUAGAUGUAUUGUCAAUAUGGAAUUAUGAUGGUAGGAUUUUCUACGAGGAUCUGAUUGAAGCCACAGAAGAUUUUCACAUUAAAUAUUGCGUUGGUACCGGAGGCUAUGGUAGCGUCUACAAGGCACAGCUUCCCAACGGCAAGGUAUUUGCAUUGAAAAAGCUUCACACUUCAGAGGAAUUGGCGUUCAUCAAGAGUUUCCGAAACGAGGCUCAAGUGCUUUCUCAAGUACUGCACCGUAAUAUUGUCAAAUUAUACGGUUUUUGCUUGCACAGAAAAUGCAUGUUUCUCAUUUACGAGUACAUGGAGAGAGGAAGCUUGUUCUGCAAUUUACACAUUGAUGAGGACGCUGUGGAGUUGGAUUGGGCUAAGAGGGUGAACAUUGUAAAAGCCAUGGCACAUGCUUUGGCUUACUUGCAUCAUGACUGCUCACCAUCAAUUGUUCACCGCGACAUAUCGAGCAACAACAUUCUACUUAAGUCAAAAUUGGAGGCAUUUGUUGCUGACUUUGGCACUGCCAGGCUUCUACAUGCUGAUUCGUUCAAUCGAACUCUAUUAGCAGGAACUUAUGGAUAUAUAGCUCCAGGUUUACCCUUAUGAUAUCUAUUCUUCUCAUGAUCGAUCCUUAAUUUGGUUCAAUUUUUUUUUUCCUUUAUAUUGCAGUCAUAUAUGUAACAUCUCUCUGAAAUAGAUAGCCAGCUGGCUAGAGAAACUCACAAAUGGAAUUAUCUCCUUUAUUAGUGGGAAGCUACAUUCUAUGAUUACUUUGCCUCGUAUAAGUCUUUUUUUUUUUCUGUAGAACUUGCUUACACCAUGGUUAUGACGGAGAAAUGUGAUGUUUAUAGCUUUGGAGUAGUGACACUUGAAGUAUUAAUGGGAAAGCAUCCAAGGGACCUUCUUUCGUCAUUAUCAUCAUCAUCUGAUCCAAAAAUCAUGUUGAUUGAUGUUUUAGACCAACGUCUUCCACUUCCAAUUGAUCAAAAGGUCAUUCAAGAUGUCCUUCUUGUUUCAACAGUUUUAUUUGCAUGCUUGCAAUCGAACCCAAAGUCUCGACCUACAAUGCAAUCCGUGUCUCAAGAAUUUCUCAUCACUCGCAAGACUCCAUUGGUAAAGCAUGCUGCUAUUCAAGAUAUUUCCAUCUCACAACUUAAAAACUAACAAAGGAUGUAUUUGAUUGAUCAAUGUAUUUCGUUGAUAGUAUUUUGUAAAACUUUGGUGAGAAUGAAUUUUGGUUUCAUGAAACCGUUACCUUUCUUGAGUAAAACUGAAAGUAACUCUUCUAAAGUGAAGUUGGUGCUUCCAAUCUAAACGAUUACAUCUUUAACUAUUUUUUCUGUGUGAAUUGCAUGUGCAAAUAAUAAGGUCAGCAAGUUUUGCUAUUGUGUUCGGAAAUCUUCUUCCAUCCACAUUAUUUUUAUAAAUUAAUAUCGUGUGCAAUAUCUGCCUCUCGUUUUCAUCUUUCAACCUGAAAUGACCCGCCUCGAAACCCCCCAAGCGAGUCUAUUUAGUCUCAUCAAAAUGGACUUGAUAAUAAUUUUAUUCGUAAAGAUUCUGCCGAAAAUUCGGCAGAGUCUCCUUUAUAUAUAUAACACUCUCAAUCUACAAAUAUGAAUAUAACACUCCCAAUACAAUUCAAUAUACAACAAACUCAUUGCUCAACAUCCUCAACCAAAAUGCUGAGUUUUAUAUCUCCAGAGUCUCAAAAGAUAAUAUUAUAACUAAUAUUAAUAUCUCAAGUUAUUCUUAAUACCAAAAGAAGGUAACAAAAGUAUACAAUCCCAAAAGAAUAAGAUGACCAAGAUGUUCUAACAAAAACAUCUAUAUCUUCUAACACCAUCACGUGGCCAAGACUCAAAAUAUGUUUAUAGUCGCUGGGUCGGUCUGAUGUACCUGCAACCUCCUGGUGAGGGGAAAAAAUAUAAUAAAAACGAGGUGAGUUUAAAACUCAGUGAGAUCAGUGAGUGGAUAGUAGAUUUGAAAAUUAAUUUUUACUUUAGAGAAAUAACCAUAUCAUUUCCAAACACGAUUUCAUUAAACUAUAAGCGAGAAACCAGUAAUAAAUCAUUAAACAUUUAAAUCAAAUUACUAACCAUGCAAAUCAUAUCACAAUAUUAUAUAGAAUUCACAAAUCUAAAAAUCAUCACCAAACAAGUACCCAAGGAAAUAAUCUCGUCAUAUCUGGACCUCAACGGACGGGCAAUGACGUACUAUUUGGGUAACGUCACGCCCUGGAGCUACACGGAUAGACAGGAAAAUAUCAUCUCAUAUCUCAUCAUAUCUAUGCAUGCAUAAUCUAGUCCCCAAGGGACAAAAGCGCCCAAGCACACGGCCCAAAGCCUCUGUGUGUACUCAGACGGGCCCCAAAGGCCUGUAUCUCAUCUGUAUCAUCUGUAUCUCAAUAUCUGUCUGUAUCUCAUAUCUGUAUCACUGUAAUCAUCAUACCUCAUGCAUAUGCCCCCAAAAGGCAAAAGCGCCCAAACACACGGCCCAAAGCCUCUAUGUAUGUUCAGACGGGCCCCAAAGGCCUCUCAUCUCAUAUCACAUGUAUCACUGUAUCUGGAGGGAAAGGGUACUAUCUAAUGAUUUCAAAAACAAUCAUUAUACUUAUAUUCACAUACCUCUUAACCAUAUUUUAAAUCAUACCACAUUUGAAUCCACUUAUCUUUAAAAUACUAUCAUGCUUUAUUCAAAAUCGAUACGCAAAAUUAUUAACCCAACAUUUCGAGGAAUCAUUAAAUCAGAACAUUUAAAAUACUUAUUUCGCAAACAUGCUUUACUAUCAUAAUUAACUAUGAAAAUAGGUUUGUAUAUUCCACUCACAGUGACGGUGUUCACAGUCGGUUAUCGUUCACGUCUGCGGACUAGUUCUCGCUCGCGGAUCCUUCUAAAUCAAGGAAACGACAUAAUUAUAUUCCGUAAAUCGGAAUUACGACUAAAUUUAUGCAAUAAACUUGAAACGAACAUUUAUCCAUACUUUACAACUCUCGUGUCGACAAAAUUACUAAAAUGCCCUUGAGUCCGUAGAUCAUUAACAUGCUCCGAAAUCAUAAAUCACCGAAUUACCCUCGAAAUCGUAAUUACACCCAAUGCUCAAUUCUAGGAAUUACUAAAAUAUCCAUAGGCUCAGAAAUUACAAAAUUGCCCUCAUAGUGUGAAAUUACCAAAAUGCCCUUGCCGGUCAACGGUCACCGGAAUUUGGUCAACACUAGUCAGGAAGCUCAAAUCUUAAAGUUCCAAUCACGCUGAGUUCAAUGGUACCGGCAGUGAGCUCCAACGCGCGGCAAUGAUGCCAGAAUCUAGAUCGGCAGUUGUGAAUGGUCGGAAAUGGAAGAGAGAGUCGUGAGGAACAAAAUCCAACCGGUGGUGUCACCCAAAACCAGCGAAAAUCCCGGUGGAGUAAAGUGAAACAGUCGCGGGUUUCAAGCUUCGAUCACCGGCAUUCCGGUUGGUUUUCGGCGGCGAGGAUGGCAGGGGAAGGACGGUCGGCUUCUAAGCUUCAGAUUGGUACCAAGAGCGGCCGAAGCGGUGGCCGGAAAUGGGAGAUAUGGCCGAGUCAAGGUAGCGGGUUGGGUUUUCGGGUUGUAAUUGGGUCGGUUUGGCAGCUUUUCUCUCACUCUCUGUUACACGUGCAUAUGUUUCCUCUGUUUCCAGCUUAUUCUUUUGCUUAUAAAAUCCUUAACCGCCUCAUUUUCAUUUUAAAUUCACAGAUGUUACACAACCGCACAAAUAAAUAAUCAUAACAAAUAGCAAUAAUUGUUGUAACUCAUGAGUUCUCAGAACUGUAAAUCAGAGUGGGAAUAUUUCCAUAUUGUGGCAUGACACGGGCUUUUCUUCUCAAUCAAAUUUUUAAAAAUUUUGGAUUCUCUAUUUCACUAUUUAAUUGAGUAGACUGCAGAUAUAAAUGUAGACAAAUUGUUAGCCUUACUUCACAGAAGUUUCAUUGCAAGUCGUUUUGCAUUGGCGCAUAAGAGUGAUCAAUUGAAUUGGAACGGCAAUGUUGAAGUUGAUAUGGUAAAAGCGAAAAUGACUAGAUAUUCCGCAAAGUCUAAAAUUCAAGAAAUUGAAGCACCAAUCAAGUGAUCAAAUUUUCUCAUGUAAUUAAUUAUCAUCAAUUGGCUUGAAGGUCAUCAAGAAGGUACUGGAUUGACAAAUUAAAUUACAUUGCUCUACUAUUGCAGUAAUAGGUUCUUGAAAGACUUUAGAGACUCAGAUUUUUUUUUUAUAAAUUUAUUUUAUUAUUAGGAUAUUUAUUAUUUUUUAAUUUUUGGGCUUUUUUUUAAUUGCUAUUUGAUGAGAGUGCAUGUGUUUGAGUUGGAGUGAGUGAGAAUGUAUUAGUUUUAAUAAUUCGAUUAUUUUUCCCCAAUCUUUGGUUAGGGUUGUAUUUUCUUUUUUCUUUUUCUUUUUUUUUACGGUCUUGAUAUUAUAUUAUAUUUUAAUUAUAAAAAUUGGUAUUGUUAUUUAUCUUCUUCGCUUCCAAAUUCUGCUAGUCCUAUUGGCUUGGCCACUAAACAGAAAAACUCCCAGAGACGGUUUCUAUUAUAAGUAUUGUUAAUUUUAAGUAUAUUAGUACAAAAACUAGCUGAAGGAAAUUGACUUUAAAUAAGAAAAAAAAAUCUAUUUAGGUGAUUAAAAUCUAAAGUUAAUUGAAAAUCUAUUGCAAAUUAAUAAUUCAAAAUCCGUGUCAUUAUUUUAAGGCAAAAAUUUAUCAAGAAAAUUUGAACUGGGAUAGUUUUAUGUAGUUUCGUAUUUUCAAUUUUGAAUGGGCCGGUUUAAUAAUUAGACCAUCUAAUUAAAUCAUCAUACUUAUCUUGAAAUUCAAUUUUAGUCCUCACAUAGUUUCGGUGCUUUUCGAAAAUCUUAAUGGCAUUCGAAGUCUUCAUCUUGAUUUGGAUUCAACCAUAUCUGUUUUUCUUUUUUUUUUUUCAGGUUUCAUUUACACCAAAUUUUCUCCAUUAUCCAUUUGCAAAUGAAUAGUGAAUCCCCCAGGAAUAUGCAAAACCUGUGAGGUUGAUACAAAGUAAUUAACAAAUCUUGGUUUGCAGACAAUUGAUUGUAAUCAGUUUCCAACUCUUUUCAUUAUCUUCUGAAAGCAACUUGCAUCUUUUGAGGUUAACUGAUGAAGAAGAUACUCAAAAAUACAAACAAGAAAUUAAAAACAAAGGCAACAAGCAAGAGACAUGCAAAUUUAGAGUGCCCCUCUCUGUGUGAGGCUAAUGGUCAAUUUUGGAAUUAUUGUUGGAAUAGUCAAAAUUGAUUUUUUGAAAUUAACUACAAACGUGUGUACCUUGCUGUUCGGUAAAUUAGUUUAUUUGGCUUCAGCCCGACAUAUAUUAAUUUGGCACUUAAAAAUUAAGAAAAAAAAAGAAUCUUUUGGAUUAAACGAACUUGGAAAGAAGCUACACUUGUAGACAAAUUAUAUAGCCCCGAAAGACCUUGACUCCAAAAGAAAUCUACUUCAAUCUUUGAAAAAUUUUGAUACAAGUUCUAAAUUUUCCACAAGAUAUCCCAAAAUGUAAUUUUCAAACAAUUGUUGUUGGUGUUGUCUAGCUCGUUUUAGACGUUUAGGAAUUGUUAGAACUUGUAUAAGGACAAUGACUUCUUGAGUCAUGAAUAAAAGACCAUUUAUGGAUUAAUAAAAGUCUGUGUGGCUCCAAAACCAAUUUUUACUGAUUAUUUGAUUAUUUUUAUUGCCAGAAUGACACAAAUUACAAAUUUAUAGAGUAGAAAAUAAUAAAACAAGAGUUGAAAAAAAUUAUAGUACUAGUUAUUUUACAAGGGUAGUUCUGUCAAUUUGAUUGAUGAUUGAUACAAUAAACUAGAGGUGAAAAAUUAAACAAAUUUAAAAUUUUGAAGUAUUUUUUAUAAUAAAGCAAGCUUAGGGUGGAUAACCGAUAAUUUUCCUGUCAUUAUUAACCAAAUCCUCCAAUUUUUAUUUAUUUAUUUGGAAGCUACUCUACCAGGGCCCAGGGUUAUUAGUAAAUUUGUGAUUGCUAAUCACGAAUAAAAGAGAAAAACAACAAAAAAAGCAAUGUUAUUGAGAAUAAUCAAAAUAUAUAUGUAGAUUUAAACCAAUCAUAUUCACAAACCAAAUUCCCUCAAAAGCCUUAAAGGCCAGAGAAGACUUUGACUCACUAUUGUGAUUGAAAAACAUGUGUGGCGAUUAAUGUACGGGAGGAGGAUUUAACGCGGGAAGAAAAAUAGAAGAUGACUGAGUCUGCUCAUGGUGUCCUUUUCCAGGGUUAAAAUGUUUAUAUAAACUUUGUAAGAGCUUGCUGAAUCCAAUAGCUCAAUCAACCGAAAAGUUAAUUAUAAGCAUGGAUCCGGCAUCCUCCAUUUUCAGAUUGGCAACCCUUGUAUGGGUUGCAAUUUUUACAUGCGAUAACGCUGCUGGUAGAAGUGGUACAUUUGUGACAGCAUCUGCUUUGUCACCCAUACAGUUAGAAAAGGAAGCUUUACUCAAUACUGGCUGGUGGAACAGCAGCUUGUCGCCGGCCGACUACUCUUCGGAUCACUGCAAGUGGACUGGCAUCACUUGCAAUUCAGCUGGAAGCAUAAUCGGGCUACAUUUAUCAAAGGAUAAUGUUAACUUCAAUGGGCGGCUUAGCCACUUAAACUUCUCUUGCUUUCCGAACCUCGAAAGUCUCAGAAUCCAGGCCUAUUAUGAUGGUUUUACUGGAAGCAUACCAUCAGAAAUUAGUGCUCUUUCAAAACUCCAACUGCUGGACUUGUCCUCGAACAGGCUUAGAGGUAACCUGCAAAUUUAACUUCAUUACCGCAUGUUAUUUGAGCAAAGAUAUUUAAAUGGAUAAGUUUGAGAGAAUACUGACAAAAACAAAGGCAAACCAGGCCUAUUUUAUCAUAUUAAUUGAAAAAAAAAAUUAAUUAACACGGUAAAAACACAUUUCUACUAUUGUUCUUAUUAAUAUCAACGUUUAAUUUCUUUAGUAUUUUUUUUGUUAUUUUCGUAAAUGGAUAACAUAAAUGUAUGACAGGUACUAUCCCUUCACAGAUUGGGAAUUUGAGGAAUCUCGUCUAUCUGAAUGUAUCUGAUAACGUCCUUACUGGACCUGUUCCUUCAACUCUAGGCCGUUUAACCAAUUUGAAUUAUAUGAGCCUCUCUCGCAACCUGCUCGGUGGUCUACUACCUCAGGAAAUUGGGAACCUGAAGAAUUUGAUCGAGUUGGAUGUGGGCGAUAACAGCCUAAUUGGGCCUAUUCCUUUAACUCUAAGUCGUUUAACCAGCUUGAAAAAGUUGAGCUCAAAUCAGAACCAGCUCAAUGGUCUGCUACCUCAGGAAAUUGGGAAUCUGAAGAAUUUAAUGUUGUUGGACGUGGGCAACAACGACAUAAUUGGGCCUAUUCCUUCAACUCUAGGUCUUUUGUCCGAUUUGAGCUAUUUGGAUCUUAGUUGUAACCAAUUCAACAGCUCAAUUCCAAAUGAGCUCACCCGUUUAACUCAACUUUUUCAUCUUGAUCUUUCCUCAAAUAAACUUUCUGGAAAAAUUCCUUCACAGAUAGCAAGUAUGGAGAUUUAACCUGUUUGGACCUAUCAAUAACAACAUAAAGUUCAAUUCCCGGUGAGAUCACCAGUUAUCUCGACUUGAUUAUCUAAUCUUUCCGUAACAAACUUUCUGGCCGAGUACCGUAUUCAAAUAAACAUCUCUCAGCAUGCCUACGGUAAGACUUUAUGCUAACAAGGGUUUAUGCGGCAAUAUUCUUGAUCUUCAUUCAUGCCAUACAACCAAACCUGCCACUCUCUUUGUUGAAAUUUUUCUUCCCCUCGCCAUAGUCUUCUCAGUCAUAGUCUUUGCAUGCUUACUACUCAUUAAACGUUACGAGAAACCCAAACUCAAGACAAGAGUAACCAAUAGCAUAGACGUAUUUUCAAUAUGGAAUUAUGAUGGUAGAAUUGUCUUCGAGCAUUUGAUUGAAGCCACGGAAGAUUUUGACAGUAAAUAUUGCAUUGGUACCGGAGCCUAUGGCAGCGUCUAUAAGGCACAGCUUCCCAACGGCAGAGUAUUUGCACUGAAAAAGCUUAACAGUCCAGAAACAGAGGAAUUAGCUUUCAUCAGGAGUUUCCGAAAUGAGGCUCAAGUACUUUCUCAAGUGCUGCACCGUAAUAUUGUCAAACUAUACGGUUUUUGCUUUAACAGAAAAUGCAUGUUUCUCAUUUACGAGUACAUGGAGAGAGGAAGCUUAUUCUGCAUUUUACACAAUGAUGAUGAAGCCGUAGAGUUGGAUUGGGCUAAGAGGGUGAACAUUGUAAAAGCCAUGGCACAUGCUUUGGCAUACUUGCAUCAUGACUGCUCACCAUCAAUUGUUCACCGCGACAUAUCCAGCAACAACAUUCUACUUAACUCAAAAUUGGAAGCAUUUGUCGCUGACUUCGGCACCGCUAGGCUUCUACAUGCUGAUUCGUCCAAUCAAACUCUUUUAGCAGGAACAUAUGGAUAUAUUGCUCCAGGUUUACCCAUAUGAUCUAUUCUUCUCACGAUCGAUCCUUAUUUACUUGGUGCAAUUUUAUUUUAUUUUACUUUAUAUUGCAUUCAUAUUCCAUAACAUCUCUUUUAAAUAGCUAGCUUGCUGGCUGGCUACAGGAACUCACAAAUACAAUUCUCUCUUUUUUUAAUGGAAGCUACAUUCUACGAUUACUUUGCCUCAUAUAAAUCCUCUACUUUCUUUUUUUUCCUGUUCAGAACUUGCCUACACUAUGGUUGUAACAGAGAAAUGUGAUGUUUAUAGCUUUGGAGUAGUUACACUCGAGGUAUUAAUGGGAAAGCAUCCAAGAGACCUUCUUUCAUCAUUAUCAUCAUCAUCUGAUCCACAAAUCAUGCUGAUUGAUGUUUUAGACCAACGUCUUCCACCACCAGUUGAUCAACAGGUUAUUCAAGAUAUCCUUCUUGUCUCAACAAUUUCAUUUGCAUGCUUGCAAUUGAACCCAAAGUCUCGACCAACAAUGCAAUCCGUGUCUCAAAAACUUCUCAUCACUCGCAAGACUCCAUUGAUGAAGCAUGCUGCUAUUCAGGAUAUUUCCAUCUCAGAACUUAGAAAAUAAGAAAUGUAUUUGAUUGAUCAAUAUGAUUGCUAAUCUUAAAUGUAUCUCAUUGAGAGUAUUUUGCAAAAUUUGUUGAGGCUGAAUUUUGGUUUUAUGAAACCGUUACCUUUGUUGUAAAAAGAUUAAAAUAACUCUUCUAAAGCGAAAUUGGUAUUUCCAAUCUAAAGUAUUAUCUUUAUUGUUUUUGAGUGAAUUGCAUGUGUAAAUAAGGUCAAAACAUUUUGCUAUUGUGCGUUGGAAAGCUUCUUCCAUCCACAUUAUUCUAAUAAACAUUAGUUGCAAUAUCUGCCUUAUCUUUCAACUGGACAAGUAAAUAAUCAAAUCAAUAAUAAUAAUAAUUGUAACUCAUGAGUUCUCUCAACUGCAAAUCAAAGUGGGAAUAUUUCCAUGUUGUGGGAUGACAUGGACUUUUCUUCUCAACAAAUUUUAAAAAAUUCCAGAUCCUCUUUUUGACUAUUUAAUUGAGUAGACUGCAUAUAUAAAUGUAGACAAAAUUAUUAGCCGUAUUUCACAGAAGUUUCAUUGCAUGUGGUUUGCAUUGGCGCAUAAGAGUGAUGAAUUGAUUUCAUUUUUAAUUCAUGAAUUUUAAUAUCCAUAGAAACAGAAGAUGCAACUUAAACUUAAGGAUUUUUAAUUUUAAUUAUAUUUAGUACAAAAACUAGUUGAGGGAAAUUGACUUUAAAUAAGAAAAAAAAAUCUAUUUGGGUGGUUAAAAUCUAAAGUCAAUUGGAAAUCUAUUGCAAAUUAAUAAUUCAAAAUUCGCGUCAUUAAUUUUAGCAAAACAUUCUCAGGAAAAAUUGAAGUGGGAUAGUUUUAUCAAGUUUCACACUUUCAAUUUCAAAGGGGACGGUUUAAUAACUAGACUAUCUAAUUAAAUCAUCACACUUAUCUUGAAAUUCAUUUUUUUCCUCAGACACUUUAUAUUAAUCAACAUAUAUAAAAUUUUAAUGGAUACACGGUGCUUUUCCAAAAUCUUAAUGGCAUUCGAAGUCUUUAUCUUGAUUUGAAUUCAACCAUAAAUGUUUUUUUUUUAAGGUUUUAUUUAUACCAAAUUUCUCCAUUAUCCAUUCGCAAAUGAAUAUUGAAUCACCUGGGAAUCAAACAAAACCAACACAAGAGAUUUAUUCAGCAGUCUAAAAGCUUCCAAUUUUCUAGGAUUCUCUCAAGUUAACAGGUCUUGAAAACUUGUGAGGUUGAUUCAAAGAAAUUAAUUAACAAAUCUUGGUUUGCACACAAUUGAUUGUAAUCAGUUUCCAACUCUUUUCAUUAUCUCCUGAAAGUAACUUGCAUCUGUUGAGGUUAAAGGACGAAGAAGAUACUCAAAAAUACUUUAUUCGAGAGAGCAAUAAAUACAAAACAAAAGCAACAAACAAGAGACAUGCAAAUUUAGAAUGCUCUCGCUAUGUGAAGCUAAUGGUCAAUAUUGGAAUUAUAAUUCGAAUAGUCGAAAUUGAUUAUGUUUGGGAGAAAUACGUCGACGAGACCAGGCAUGAUGAACAGAUAUCUGAUGGUAGAGUUCUGCGAACCGGUGUGUCCCGUAAGAGCCUGGUAUCCGGGGGAGCAAGAGCAGGAAUAUCCUGCUCAUCCACGAGCACGUCAUCCGCGAGGCCAAUUUCCUGUAAGAAGCAUAAAGCCAUUUCUGCUGUAUUCAUGCUAAGUGUUGAUUCGAGGAGACCCGGUCAAUGACAGUUGGCGAGGCAUGCUCUCCAAUCCGAGAAUCUAGGCACGAUGGCCACGCAACCACCCACAACUACGGAAAUGGGGAGUCCACGUUCGAGAGGUGGGAGGAUAACGAGCGCGAAUGGAGGGGAGACCCGAGCUCAGAAGUAGCCUAUAAAAAAGUAGCCAACAAAGGUAAAAGGGUUAGCAAUUUUGAGAUUAUAACAGAGAUUAAGGAAAUUCUAAAGAAGAGAAAACUACCAAAAAGCCAUAAGAUCUGUGGCAAGCGUUCCCAGAGCCUUCAUAUCUGACUUGAGCGUCGGAGGGUUUACGUCGGGAAAACAACCGGCGUGCUCUGACUUGUUUUUGUGGACGCAGGAAUACUUGGAGAAGAAAGCAUACGAGGAGAGAUCCUGGUCGAGGUGAGGUUGAUCGAACAGAUAUCCUGGUCGUAGGAAGAGCGUAACCAGAAUCUCGCAUUAACAUUUUGGCGCCGUCUGUGAGGAGACUGAGCAAAAAGCUUCUGUUGAUAGCAAGAAGAGGAGGGAAGCAACCGAAAAGCAAUGGAGAUAGGAGGAAGUAGUGCACAAGUGGGUGAUAUGAGGCUUAACGAUUCCGUGACGCUGAGGGAGAUAGCCAGUGAAGCACGAGAAAAAGCCAUGUUCGACCGGAUGGAACGGAUGGAAAAGCAGAUGGAGACCUUGACAACCAUCCUGCAUGAGCUGCGGAGCGAACAAAGGGUAACCCAGGAGGAAAGGGUGAGAGGUGGUGGAGUGGCACCAGGUCCCGAUAGUACGAGGAGAAGUCAAACCACCGGGAGAUUUGGUGGUGAGAGAGGUAACAUACCUCUGCGGGGAGAAUUUCAUAGAGAGGAAGAACAAUCCCCGGCAAGACAAAUUUUCGACGAGGACAAUGGGGUGGCGAAUGCAGAGGAAACAGAGUUGAGGCAACACUUGCAUGAUGUAGAGCAAGAGCGGGAUCAAGUUGCAGCACGUGACCCUGGUCAUGCAAUGCAGCUGGAGGAGGAAGUGCGCAGACUAGCGCAGAUAAUUGACCAUAUGCAAGGAAUGAGCAGAGCUCCUGGUUGGAGGAUAAUGCUGGACGGAGAAUCACCGCUCGCAGCAGAGAUCAUGAGGGCAGUUAUUCCGAGAGAUUUCCGCCUCCCAGACCUUAGAUAUUCGGGAAGAACUGAUCCGCUGGUGCACAUAGAGCGCUUCAACGACAUAACUGGGGUACAAGGAUUAUCUAAAUCCCAAAGGUGCAGGGUGUUCCCACUAUCCCUUAAGGGACGUGCAAGAGAGUGGUACAGAAAACUUCCUCGGGGGAGUAUUAAAACCUUCGAGCAGAUGUGCCAAGAAUUUGCAGAGCAGUUUAGUGGGGCAAUGGCACCAGAAGAUGACAUGAUGGAGCUGAAAAGCAUGAAACAGGGGGAGCAAGAAACCCUUCGGGAAUUCAUCAAGAGGUUUCAUCGUGCUGUCCUCAACUUGGGAGCCUUCAACCACCCUCAGGCGUUAAGAGGAUUGAAAGAAGGGGUGAAGAUAGGAAGGUUGUGGUACAACUUGAGAAGCCCAGUUAUUCAGACGUAUACGGCCGCGUACGAGCAGGCUAAGAGAGACAUCGAGAUUGAAGAGGAAAAGGCAGCACAGAUUAAGACAGACCAGUUGGAAGGGUUGGGUAGGAAAGAGAAGAAAGCAUUACCAGGGAAUGGGCCGAUCAGGAGAAGGGACCACCAGGCCUCGGGUAGUGGAGCAGGAGGUCGGGUAACUGCUUACUAGCCUCAUCAGAGGCCACCACAGUAUCAGCGCAGCAGGGCGCAACCUCCUCGUUCCCCAGCUAGGGAACCUUGGAGAAGGCAUGAUUCAGCAUAUGGUGGUCUUCAUCAACACUCCCACGGUAGCAGAGGGAGCAGACCAGAAGUACUGCCACCGCCCCCAACGCAGAACGGAGUAAACAGAGAAAGAGCAGUGCACCUGAUCGACCAGAACCAGGACUAUGGGCGGUAUAAUUCCUUGAAGAUGUCCUUGGAUGAGGUGUAUGAGGCCAUAAAGGAUCGAGGGUUGUUGUACCUCCCUGCCCCAAUAACAAAGCUACCCAGCAUGAGGGAUAGGGGAUGCUAUUGUAAGUUCCAUGGCACUCAUGGCCACACCACAGCAGGUUGCAGGGAUCUCAAGACCCAGGUUGAAGAUUUGGUGAGAAAUCAGUAUCUGGACGAGUUUAUAGAUGGGAUCUUCCCGAUGGUAGCCUCGACAAGUGAAGGGGAGCAGAGUGACAGGAACUUGAGGCGCGAGCAGCCUACGGUAAAGGUGAUAGCUGGGGGCCCAACAUUGGCUGGAAAUUCCAACAGGUCGAGGAAGAAUUAUGCUAGAUACGCCAUGACCAGCAAAGAGGUGUUCUUCAACACCCCAGCAGCCAAACGUGCAAGAGUCAGGCAAGUGCCAAUCAUGUGGAUAGAUGAGGAUGAGGAAGGGAUUUUAUACCCUCACGAGGAUGCUUUGGUCAUCAAGGCCACUGUUGCUAGCAAGAAGUUUGACAGGAUACUGGUUGACAUAGGGAGCUCAGUUGACGUAUUGUUUAAAUCAACCCUGGAGGAGAUGGGGAUAGCAGACCUGAAGUUGGAUUACACCAAUACCUCUUGAAGGGGUUUGGAGGAGGAAAGCUCGUCCCUCUGGGCGUGAUCGAGCUGCCUAUCACGAUUGGGAGUUCCCCGACAGAAAGGACAAUGAUACUGGACUUUGUAGUAGUGGAUGAGGAAGGUCCUUACCAAAUGAUCCUAGGCCGGCCAUUUCUGAGGAUGAGCAAAGCGGUGCUGUCCAACCAUUAUCUGGCUCUCAAGUACCGGGUGAAUGGGAUAGUUGGAGUGGUACGAGGAGACUAGAGAAUCGCAAGGAGCUGCUACUCCUCGGCAGCAAGGGAAGCAAUGCAGAUAACAUCCCUUGAUACCCGAGUGGAAAACAAGAAUGGCAGAUAAGAACCUGUUGAGGAGCUGGAGACAGUAAGCCUGGGACCAGAGAAUCCGGGAAAGACGAUCAGAAUCGAGUCGAGACUUAAGGAAGAGCAGAAGUAUGAGUUGGUGAAAUGCUUACAGGCUUAUGCAGAUGUGUUUGCUUGGACACAUGAAGACAUGCUAGGGAUUGAUCCUGAGGUAGCAUGCCAUAAGCUGGCAAUAAAGAAAGGUGCUCGAGCAGUAAGGCAGAAAAGGAGGUGCUUCAACCAGGAGAGGUAUGAGGCUAUAAAUGGCGAGGUGGAGAAGCUCUUGAGAGCAUGGUUCAUUUGGGAAGUCAAUUACCCUGAGUGGAUAUCGAAUGUGGUGUUGGUAAAAAGGCAAAUGGCAGGUGGAGGAUGUGUGUGGAUUUCACAGACCUUAAUAAGGCGUGCCCAAAAGACAAUUUUCCUUUACCAAAGAUCGAUCAGCUAGUAGAUUCAACGGCUGGACACGGUCUGCUUAGCUUCAUGGACGCGUUCUUGGGAUACAACCAGAUCCCCAUGCACGAGCAAGAUGAGGAGAGCACGGCUUUCAUCACUAACCAGGGUUUGUUCUAUUACAGGGUAAUGCCAUUUGGACUUAAAAACGCUAGGGCCACAUACUAGAGGCUGGUGAACAAAGUCUUUAAGCUAUUGAUCGGGAGAACCAUGGAGGUGUACGUGGACGACAUGAUAACCAAGUCGAAAAUCCCGAAAGAACAUGUCGGACACCUUGAGGAGACAUUCGGGCUUUUGAGGAAGUAUAAGAUGAAGCUCAACCUGGAAAAAUGUGCUUUUGGGGUCGAGUCGGGGAAGUUCUUCGGAUUCAUGGUGAGUCAUCGGGGAAUCGAAGCAAAUCCCGAGAAGAUCCAGGCGAUCGUGCAGAUGAGGUCUCCUCGUAGCCUGAAGGAGAUGCAGAGCCUUACGGGGAGGUUGGCGGCAUUGAGCCGGUUCAUAUCCAAGGCUACAGAUAAGUGUCAGUCAUUCUUUCAAGUGAUAAGGAGGAGAAAGAAAACAGAGUGGACCCCGGAAUGCAAGGAAGCUUUUCAGAACUUGAAGCAGUAUUUACAGCAAGCCCCUCUGCUAUCCACACCGAGGGAUGGGGACAAGUUAUUUUUGUAUCUGGCGGUAUCGGAUCGGGCCGCCAGUUCUGUUCUGGUGAGAGAGGAAGAGGGAGUUCAAUAUUCGAUAUACUACACCAGCAAGACCCUGCUCGACGCUGAGACCAGAUACCUACUGUUGGAGAAAUGGGCACUUGCCCUUGUGGUUGCUGCUCGGAAGUUGAGGCCAUAUUUUCAGGCAUUCCCAGUCUCGGUAAUAACAAACCAGCCAUUGCGUCAAACUCUGCACAAGCCAGAUGCUUCUGGCCGGCUCGUCAAGUGGGCUAUAGAGCUGAGCGAGUUCGAUAUAGACUACAAACCCCGAGCAGCGAUAAAGGCUCAGGCAAUGGCCGAUUUCGUAGCAGAAUUCACAGAGCCUGAAGUAUGUCUUGACCAAUGAGAUGCAGCUACAGACAGUGGCGAAGCUCAAGUAUGGCAAAUGUCUGUAGAUGGGUCAUCAGGGGAGCAGGGAUUGUAUUGGAAGGCCCGGAGGGGGAGGAGAUCUCUUAUGCAGUAAAGUUAGAAUUCGCAGCAACAAAUAACCAGGCAGAGUAUGAAGCCUUGAUAGCAGGUUUGGAACUGGCUAAGGCCGUGAGAGCAGAUAGAGUGAAGAUCAGAACUGAUUCCCAGCUGGUUGCGAAUCAUGUCAGUGAGAGAUUCCAACCGAGAAAGGAGAAGAUGGAGCAGUACCUGAAGAUAGUCAGGCAGAUGAUGGGGAAAUUCGAAGCGGUGGAGGUGGUACAAAUCCCCAUGGAGCAGAAUAGUCGAGCAGAUAUUCUGGCCAGGAUGGCAGCAGUAGCCGACCCAAAAAUGCCAAAGUCAGUCCCACUGGAGGUGAAGUCCAGCCCAAGUAUCGAGCAUAAUUUGGGGGUGCUGCGGAUAUAACAAAAAUGCUCGUGGAUGGACCCGAUAAUUUCAUACCUCAGAGACGGGGUAUUACCUCUAGAUAAGCUGUGAGCUCAGAAGGUUAGAGCUCAGGCCUCGAGAUACACGAUGAUUGAUGGGGUACUGUAUCGGCGAGGAUAUACACUACCUUUCCUUCGAUGUUUGGAUGAGGACAACGCAGAUUACGUACUGAGAGAAGUACAUGAAGGAAUUUACGGGAAUCAUUCUGGUGGGAGGUCCUUGGCCCACAAGGUUCUAAGGUAGGGAUAUUUCUGGCCGACAAUGCACCAGGAUGCACAGGAGAAGACCAGGAGCUGUGUAAGCUGCCAGAGUUUUGCAAGUUUCUCCAACCAACCACCAGAGAAGCUCACCUCUAUGGCCUCCCCUUGGCCAUUUGCUUAAUAGGGAAUUGAUCUGAUCGGCCCGCUGCCAAAGGGACGAGGAGCAGAACGCAUGCAAUAGUUGCUAUAGAUUACUUCACGAAGUGGAUAGAGGUCGAAGCCCUUAGCAGGAUUACAGAGAAGAAAACGACAGACUUUGUGUGGAGAAACCUGGUUUGUCGAUACGGGAUCCCUUAUGCCUUGGUAACGGAUAAUGGCAGGCAGUUCGAUAAUCACAGCUUCAGGGAUUUCUGCCAGAACCUCGGGAUAGAGCUGAAGUAUUGCUCACCUGCUCACCUGCUCACCCUCAAUCGAAUGGACAAGUAGAAGCAGCCAACAAGACCAUCAAGAGGCUUUGAAAACCAGGCUUGGAGCAAAAAAAGGGUGCAUGGGUUGAUGAGCUGUCAGGUGUUUUAUGGGCAUACAGGACAACCCACAAAAUAGCAACUGGGGAGACACCGUUCGCCUUGGCUUUCGGACAUGAAGCGGUCGUGCCAGCUGAGAUAGGAACGACCACGCAUCGAACAGAUCAUUUCAAUGAGCAGGAGAACGACGAGCAGAUAUGUUUGAAUCUUAAUCUGCUAAUGAAAAAGAGGGAGCAAGCAGCCGAGCGAUCAGCCAUUUACCAGCAGAGGGUUGCUCGGUAUUAUAACCAGAAGGUGAACAUACGGCAGUUCAGGGUCGGAGAUUGGGUGUUAAGGAGAGUGAAUCAGAACACUAAAGACUCGACUCAAGGAGUGCUCGGUCUGAAUUGGGAGAGGCCAUAUAGAGUCAAGCAACUAGUUGGACCAGGAGCUUACAAGCUGGUUCACAUGGAUGGCCACGAGGUGAAACGCCCAUGGAACGUAGCACAUCUCAGGAAAUAUUUCCAGUAAGAGUCGUUAAUAUUUUCAAGUUCUUUCUGUUCGUAUUUGCUGUUAUUUAUUUUAUGUCCAAACAAUUUCGUGUAAGUUGAAUCCUGCAAUUAAUGGAACGUCGAGGAAUUUCAUUCACUUGAAAUUGUGAAAAUUUUCUAAGGCAUGCAAAGGCUCGCCAAGUCUCAAAGCCUGUUUAUGGCGAAACAGAAGCCAAGCGUGCCAGGAUCUGCUCGACCACGCGAAGGCGAGCAGAAUCCCCAAGCAUCGGAAUAUUUUCUAAGGAAUGCAAAGGCUCGCCAAGUCUCAAAGCCUGUUUAUGGCGAGACAGAAGCCAAGCGUGCCAGGAUCUGCUCGACCACGCGAAGGCGAGCAGAAUCCCCAAGCAUCGGAAUAUUUUCUAAGGCAUGCAAAGGCUCGCCAAGUCUCAAAGCCUAUUUUAUGGCGAGACAGAAGCCAAGCGUGCCAGGAUCUGCUCGACCACGCGAAGGCGAGCAGAAUCCCCAAGUAUCGGAAUAUUUUCUGAGGCAUGCAAAGGCUCGCCAAGUCUCAAAGCCUAUUACGGCGAGACUAGAAGACAAGCGUGCCAGGUUCUGCUCGACCGCGCGAAGGUGAGAAGAAUCCCCAAGCAUCAAAAAAUUGUCUAAGGCAUGUGGCAAAACCAUAUGCCACGCCAGAACCUGCUCAACCAGACGAAGACGAGCAGAAUAGCAAAAGAAAAAUAACUCAUGAUUACAACACAAGAAAGUAAUCAAAUAUUUUUAUUAAUUUGUUAAUAAUUAACAAAGGAGAUAAUCUUCACAAACAUUGUUCAUUACAAUACAAGAAAUAUAUCAAGAAGAUGGCGGAUCAGUAAGCCGAGCAGUAUCGGCUGGCUGGACCUCCUCAGGUGCAGGGGGGUAUCACUAGUUGCGUCCGGGGGGGUGCUCGCCUCGCCAACGUUAGCAGGGACUACACGAGGAGGAGAGUUUUCCUCCUCAAUCACGAUCGGCUCUACCCCUUCGGCAUCUUCCUUGGCCGCCUCCUCGUCCAUAUGUUGAGCAACACCAGCUGCAAGGUCAUCCAUCUUCAGAUCAGGGUGCUGCUUCCCGAGGACGGCCAUGAUGCAACGAUAGGAAUGCCGAAAUCCCUGGUCGUACUGGUUGUCGGCCUCCCUCUCCAAGUUCUCGACCUGAGCUCGAUGGGAAUCGCGGAGAGAUUCGAGCUGAGCCUCAUACAUAACCUUCUGCCUUUGCAGAUCCUCCUUGACCUUAGUCAGCUCCUCCUCGAGGGUAAUGGCUUUUGCUUGAGCAAGAGAUUCUUGCUCUGUCAGCUUGAGAUUCUCAACAUUCAGCUCCCCUGCUUUCUUCUCGGCAACGUCAGCUCUGGUCGUCGCCGAUUGAAUAUCUUCCUUCAUCUUCCGGUCGUAGCGGCCAACCUUAACCUUGUAAUAGGUGGUCAUGCAGCUGAGGUGGAAAGCGCUAUACUGCAUGGUCCCCACCAGCUCCCCCAAGGUGCAGCCAUCAAAGUCCUCCAGGUCCUUCUUGCUCACAAGUUUAGAUAACUCAUUAAGAUAGAGGACCAAGUGUUCUGCCCCGCUGUCAGGUAAGCGAGAUCGGGGCCUGACAGAAGGAGAAGAGGAAGCAGGAUCCGUGGCUGCUCCACUAGUUUCCCCGACUUUGGCAGGAGCAGGAGGUAAAGUCUUCAAGGGAGAGACUUGCUGCACGAUGUUGGCCCGCUUUGCAGAAGGGGCGUCCUUAUUGUGGUCCCUCUUCAUGGUUUGAGGUUGAGAACGUUUCCUGUUUAGAGCCCCAAUCACAGCGUCCUCCAUCUUAUGGCCAGGGAGUACCAAGCGAGACUCGAGCAAGUUGUAAAUAGUUAUCAGCUCUCGACUCGGGCAGGAGUUGGCUAGUACAGCCUCGACCCGUUUGAGCUGAUCAGGUUGGAGCGGGAAGUGAACACCCCAAGAACCUGCAACACAAACAAACAUUUGAUUAGAGACAAACCAGUAAAGUGCAAACAACUAGGUAGACAAGACAUCUAAUACGAGCAGGCAACCUGGGACCACGAAACGGGGUGGGACGCGGAAGUCCUGCCCAUCAACCUGUGCAACUUGACCCCAGGGACCCCCUGCGAAAAAGAACUUCUUCUUCCAAUUCCCACCACCACCAGUAGGAAGAUUGGUUAUGGGUUUCCUGGUCUUGGAACUUGAUUGGAAGUAAUACCAGCUGGCGUCUUUGGGGCUGCUUUUCAGCUGGUACAAGUGCUUCAUCUCAUCGACCGUGGGCUCGCUUUGGCAACAUCUGUCCCACAGUAUGAACAGACCAGAGAGCACUCUCCACCCGUUGGGGUUCAGCUGACCAGGAGCUAGGUUUAGCCCGUUAAGAAUCCGGGCAAAGUAGGGUUGCAAGGGACACCUCAGCCCGUGCCUAAAACUCUCCAAAAAUAAGGUAACAUAUCCCCUAGGAGGCCUGCUAGGGGUAUCCUUCUUUCCUGGGACCUUAAGAAGUAUUUCACCAGGAAUGCUAUACCUAAGCCGGAGGUCAGCGAGCUCGUCAAACGUGGUCGUGCACGUCAUAUAAUCAAUAGCGUAGUCCCGCGAUAGGGCUCUACCUCCUACUGUACUCCGCCCUUCUGGUGGCAACGCUCCUGAUGGGGACACCUCACCAGAAUCAUCUCCUCGACCCUCACUCAGGGUGUUCUCCGAGCCAGAAGACUCCUCUUCAUCGUUAUUUCCGCUCGAGGAGGUUGUUUGGGGGGACAUCCUCCUAGCGCUAGUGCCAACACUAGAUCUAAUGGGCUCUAAGGGGAUCCCGAGGUCAAAAGAAGGAUCGGUUAGCAGACUAGGCAGGAAGUCCAACUCCUCCUCGUUAACCUCAAGGACCUUCUCUUUGCCUUUCGACAUUCCCUAAGCUCUAACCACAACACCACCACCAACUACUACCCAAACAAAAGAGAAGAGAAAUUAUCUACAACUAUCCGAGACCAAGGAGAUAGAAGAAAUACCUGAAGUAAUGGUUUAGUCGGUGAAAGACAGAGAUGGAGGACUUUAUGCCGGAACUUUUUUGCCGGAGAGACAGAGACGGAGACAGAGUGAAUGAUGAAUUUUCCGUUCGAGAGGAUUUGGGUUUCCUAAUAGGGACUGACUCUUGGGUUGCCAUCAUUUAACGGCACCAAAUCCCAAGGGCCUCGUAACCGUUGGUUUGAAAUUCGAAUAGAGGGGCAGAUUUCUGCCACAUCACCUCGUCCGCAAUUAAAUGUAACAUGACUCUUGGCAGCCUUUUCCAAUCCCACGCGAGCAAGUACUGUCAAGUUUCUACUGCUGGUCCACAACAUUACCCAACACCAGAAACUGGGGGACCGAUGUUUGGGAGAAAUACGUCGACGAGACCAAGCAUGAUGAGCAUAUAUCUGAUGGUAGAGUUCUGCGAACCGGUGUGUCCCGUAAGAGCCUGGUAUCCGGGGGAGCAGGAGCAGGAAUAUCCUGCUCAUCCACGAGCACGUCAUCCGCGAGGCCAAUUUCCUGUAAGAAGCAUAAAGCCAUUUCUGCUGUAUUCCUGUUAAGUGUUGAUUCGAGGAGACCCGGUCAAUGACGAUUGGCGAGGCAUGCUCUCCAAUCCGAGAAUCUAGGCACGAUGGCCACGCAACCACCCACAACUACGGAAAUGGGGAGUCCACGUUCGAGAGGUGGGAGGAUAACGAGCGCGAAUGGAGGGGAGACCCGAGCUCAGAAGUAGCCUAUAAAAAAGUAGCCAACAAAGGUAAAAAGGUUAGCAAUUUUGAGAUUAUAACAGAGAUUAAGGAAAUUCUAAAGAAGAGAAAACUACCAAAAAGUCAUAAGAUCUGUGGCAACCGUUCCCAGAGCCUUCAUAUCUGACUUGAGCGUCGGAGGGUUUACGCCGGGAAAACAACCGGCGUGCUCUGACUUGUUUCUGUGGACGCAGGAAUACUUGGAGAAGAAAGCAUACGAGGAGAGAUCCUGGUCGAGGUGAGGUUGAUCGAGCAGAUAUCCUGGUGGUAGGAAGAGCGUAACCAGAAUCUCGAAUCAACAGAUUAUUUGAAAUAAAUUACAAAAGUGUGUAGUUUGUUGUCGGGUAAAUUAUUUUAUUUGUUUUCAGCCCGAGAUAUAUUAACUGAGCACUUAAAAAUUAAGGGAAAAAAAAAAGAAUAUUAUGGAUUAAACGAACUUGGAAAGAAGCUACACUUAUAUAAUAUCCAUCCUUAAAAAAUAAUAAACAAACAAAUUAUAAAGCCUGGAAAGAUUUGACUCCAAAAGACAAAAGUAAUCUACCUCAAUCUUUGGAAAAUUUUGAUACAGGUUCUAAAUUUUCCACAAGAUACCCUAAAAUGUAAUUCUCAAACAAUUGUUGUCGGUGGUUUCUAGCUCGUUCUAAACGUUUAGAUUUUGUUAGAACUUGUAUAAGGACAAUGACUUAGAGUCAUGAGGAGAAGACCAUUUAUUUAUACAUGAAAUUAUGGAUUAAUAAAAGUCUGUGCCGCUCCAAAACCAAUUUUUAUUGAUUAUUUGAUUAUUUUUAUUGCCCGAAUGACACAAAAUACAAAUUUAUAGGGUACAAAAUAACCGGAACAAAAGUUUAAAAAAAAAAUUAUAGUACCACUUAUUUUACAAGGGUAAUUCAAUCUAUUUGAUAGAUGAUUGAUACAAAUUGUAAACUUAAGGUGAAAAUUUAAACAAAUUUAAGUUUUCAAAGUUUUUAUUUUUAUAAGGUAAACUUAAGGUGGAUAAUUAAUAAUUUUCCUUUUAUUAUUAAUCCAAAUCUUCCAUUUUAACUGGCCAAGAAAAGUUAUUUGGAAGUUACUCUAGCAGGCCCUGGGGCUGCUUGUAGAUUUGUGAUUGCUAAUCACUAAUAAAAAGAAAAAAUAACCAAAAAAAAAAUUAUUGAGGAUAAUCAAAUAUGUAGAUUUACACAAAUCAAAAUCCCACAAAAGUCUAAAGGCCCGAGAAGACUUUGACUCACUAUUGUGAUUGAAAAACGUGUGUGGUGCAAUUAUAUUGCAUUCAUAUUCCAUAACGUCUCUUUUAAAUAGCUAGCUUCCUGGCUGGCUACAGGAACUCACAAAUACAAUUCUCUCUUUUUUUAAUGGAAGCUACAUUCUAUGAUUACUUUGCCUCAUAUAAAUCCUCCACUUUCUUUUUUUUCCCGUUCAGAACUUGCCUACACCAUGGUUAUGACAGAAAAAUGUGAUGUUUAUAGCUUUGGAGUAGUGACACUUGAAGUAUUAAUGGGAAAGCAUCCAAGGGACCUUCAUUCGACAUUAUCAUCAUCAUAUGAUCCAAAAAUCAUGCUGAUUGAUGUUUUAGACCAACGUCUUCCACCUCCAGUUGAUCGAAAGGUUAUUCAAGAUAUCCUUCUUGUUUCAACAAUUUCAUUUGCAUGCUUGCAAUCGAACCCAAAGUCUCGACCUACAAUGCAGUCCGUAUCUCAAGAAUUUCUCAUCACUCGCAAGACUCCAUCGGUAAAGCAUGCUGCUAUUCAAGAUAUUUCCAUCUCACAACUUAGAAACUAAUAGAGGAUGUAUUUGAUUGAUCAAUAUGAUUGCUAAUCUUAAAUGUAUUUCAUUGAUAGUAUUUUGUAAAACUUUGGUGAGGGUGAAUUUUGGUUUCAUGAAACCGUUACCUUUCUUGAUUAAAAAUGAAAGUAACGCUUCUAAAGUGAAGUUGGUGCUUCCAAUCUAAACGAUUACAUCUUUAAUUAUUUUUUCUGUGCGAAUUGCAUGUGCAAAUAAGGUCAGCAAGUUUUGCUACUGUGUUAGGAAAUCUUCUUCCACUCACGUUGUUUUUAUAAAUUAAUAUCGUUUGCAAUAUCUGCCUCUCGUUUUUAAUAUUAUAUAUGACACAAUAAUUAUGGUAUUAACCAUAUAGGUUCUCAAUAAUAUUUAAAUAAAAAAUAUUAAAUGGGUGAAAAUUAAAACAAAAUCUAAUUUAAAGAUAUGUUAAUCAUGCUUUUAUCAAUCGUGUGCUAAAUUAGUGUUUUAGUUUGGUCGAACUUGUGCCGCCCAAAUUUUUCGCGAUAAAAAACACGAUAAACAAUUCAACCUAAAGUCCUAAACUACUACAACAGGGUCUUUGUAAAAUAUAUUAUCACUUAUGCCCCUUCAUUUAAAUUUUUGUAAACAUUAGGAACCUUCGUGCUAUUAUCUCAAAAUAAAUCAGGUUCUUCAAGCCCAUAAAUACCAAGUGUCAUUCACACUCUACUCAUAUUACAAAACCAAAACAAGAUAUAAUUCGGGGGGGGAAAAAAAAAUCAUAUCACAAAAUCAAAGUCUCUCACACUCUUAAGUUCUAAUACAGAGAUGGCGCAAGUUAGUAUUUGCAGAGCUGUGGCUUUGAUUCUCUUCAUUGCAGCGCUUCUCUCAAUGACAGCUGUCGUCAGUGCACAGGAUGUCGACCUGGCGCCGUCGCCGAGCAUGGACGCCGGAGCUGCGUUCCCGGUGACUGUUUCCGCUGGCUUUGUUUGCUCCUUACUCUUCUUCUCAGUCAUUACUCUACUAUUGCAGUAAUAGGUUCUUGAGAGACUUGAGAGACUCAGAUUUUAUAUUUUAUUAUUAUUAUUAGGAUAUUUAUUACUUUUGAAAUUUUUGGGUAUUUUUUUAAUUGCUAUUUGGUGGGAGUGCCGAGUGCAUGUGUUUGAGUUGCUGUGAGUGAGAAUAUUAGUUUUAAUAAUUCGAUUAUUUUUCCUCUAAUCUUUGGUUAGGGUUGUAUUUUCUUUUUAAUUUUUUACGGUCUUGAUAUUAUAUUUUAUUUUAAUUAUAAAAAUUGGAAUUAUUAUUUAUCAUUUUGCAUCUCUCUUUAAGUAUAUUUAUCAGUUGGCUA